AAAAAAAAAAAACUAAACUAAAAAAUGAUGGAUUGAAAAUUUUUACGUUCAGGAUAAACCUCAACAACCAUUUCUACAAUUUCACCCCAGACUUAAAAUAUUUUUAAAUUAUAAUUUUUUUAUUUUUUAAAAAAACAUAAAAUCUUAAAAUAUUAUUAAAAUUUAUAAAUAAAAUUAAAUAUAAUUCAAAAAGUUAAAAAAUAAUAAAAAUUAUUAAAAAUCACGUAAAAGUUUAAGUCUAGAAAUGAAUUUUAACAUGUCCAAAUUUAUUAAGAUAAAUUUUUUAAAUAAUAUAAAAUUUUAAAAAUAUUAUAAUUUUUUUAAAUGUUAUAUGUGUAUCAAUAUUUUAAUUCUACUAGUCCUUUUUUGGCUAGAUAAAAAUUUAAAAAAAAAUAGAAAACAAAUAUAUAAUUUUUUUUAAAAAAAUAUUAAUUCUAAUACUACCUUAUGAGUUCAAUUGCUAUGUCGAGAUGUUUAAACGAAGCAUAUUGCUCUCUUGGCAAGGCUAAAAGGCUACACGUCGUCGUGUUUUUGUAGUUAUUGAAUGAUCUGGCAAGACUUUCUAAGGUGAGGGUAUAACACUUAUCAAUAGAAAUUUAAUUAUUAUACAUAAUUCACAAGUCGGUUCUACAUAUAUAUUAAUGGUGAUGUUUUAUGUAUUGAAGAGGAAUUAAAAAAAAUGGUUCUCAACAAAAUUUUUUUAUAUUUUAGACUAAAUCAGUUUAAUGAUGAUAUUUUUUGUCUAAGUUCGAAAGUCUGUUCGAAAAUUGGAUGUGUUAGACAAAAAUAUUAGGUUCGAAAAAUAAGUUUAAAUAACAAAAUUAUGUCUAUUUAAAAUAUAAAUUGAGCUUGGACUCCAACGUUUUAUACUCAAGUUCUACUCAAUUUCAAUUACUUUCAAGUUUAUAAUAUGUUGUUUAUAUAUUUGUAAUUUAUAUCAUAGGAAAAAAAAUAAAUAUAAUCAACAAUAAUGUAUAUAUUAAAAUGUAUUAAGUUGUUUAUGUUUAUAAAUUUAAUAAAGAAUGUAUAUAAUGUUAAUAAAUUAUAUAUAUUUAUUAAAUAUUAAGUAAAAAUAAUUAUAUUUUAAAAUUAAAAAAUAAAUCGGGUAAGACUAAAAAAGCUUUGUUGGCCAUUUAUAAAUAUGGAUGGACUUGGACAAAUUUUGAGGUUUAUAUUUUAAGUCGAGUCAGGCUUGAGCAACUGUGCAUAGUAUUGAGUCCAAUUGUUAUCGAAAGGCAAAUUUAAGCAGUGCUAAGACAAGAUUCAAAUGCAUUUGUAACGCCCCGAAUUUUGGGGCUAGAAGUUUUGGAUUUUGUGAUUAGGGUCAGUGAGUGGGUGGUCCUAUUGAGUUUAGUUGUGCGUUUAAGUGACAGAAUAGGCUUGCUAGUCUAGUGGUUUUGUGUGUGUUAGUUUGUCUCUGGGUUCGAGUCUGCGUUUGAAGUAACAUUUUGUUUUGGGUUUUGUUUUAAGUUAAAAUUUUAUUCUUUUUAACUAUUUAUUUUUAACUCUAUUUUUACUUUUUAUUUUUAUUAUUAUUCUACUUUGUUUAAUUUUCAGGGGAACGUUCUUUCUUGUUUUUCUUUUUGGGGGGUUUUUGUUUUUGAUUUGAUUUUCUUCUUUAAUUCCUUGUUGAAAACGGGUUUGCUUGUAGAUUUCGAAGAAUCUAGCUCCUCAGUCGUCGAAUCAGGUGUGGGAUUAGAACCUUGACUACCUUUAUUUUUGUGAAUUAUUGUUUCAAAAAUUCUUAUUUGUGUUCUUAACUGUCGAUUUUGAGGUGUCAGUUGCUAAAAAAGGUUGGGGAAUACGACAUAUCCUGAUACCGUUCUGUCAUUGCGAAGGUUGAGACUGUUGCGAUGGCUAAAAUAACAUUUUUUUGGCUCGUUCCGAGGUGGUUCAUGGCCACUUGGGCUUUCACACGGGCGUGUGCUAGUUCACACGAUUGUGUGCUUUUGGGAAUUAGGGUUUUCGGGCCAAUUUUGGUGCCACAUAGCCAUGUGGCUGACUUGGGGAUUUUAUUAUUUCUCGUACGGCCGUGUCCCUCAAGCACACUAGCGUGUGAGAUUGGGGAUUAGGGUUUGAGUGAUUUGGUGCCACACGAUCGUGUGGCUAAUUUGGAAAUUUAGGGAUUCCAUACGGACUUGUGUUUUGGGACACACGGGCGUGUGAGACCCUCACAUGGUCGUAUCAGCCCUGUCCUCAAAUUAAGUGUAAAUAGAUAGAGAGUUUCAUGGCCUACUCCCACGGCCAUGUAUUUGGUCCACACGAGUGUGUGCUUCAGUCACACGGCCGUGUGCCUCUCUUCACACAAGCAUGUGCCCCUUUUUACACGGGCUUGUGACCUUCCACACGGCCUAGGCAUGGCCACAUGGCUAGAGUACACGGGCUUGUGGCUCUAAGUCAUCUAUUUUGAUUCUAUGUGUGUUUGAUUCGAGCAUUUGCUUGUGUGUUUUGCCUUGGCUGAUCUUUAGUCAGGGUGGCUAAGAAUUCUGAUCUAGGCUUCGGCCUGAGUAUAUCUGUGGCUGUCAUGUGAGAUGUUUGAAUAUGAAUCUGUUCUAUUUGGUGUGUGUGCAUAGCCAUUCUGUCUAACUGUCUGAUAUUGUGUCUCUGUUUUGUGAGAUUCUAUUCAUACAUACACAUGCAUAAAAUAUUUUGGGAUGGGUUUUGAAGAGAAGGAAGCCUGAUCUGAUCUGGCAGUUCAAACUACAACUUGUCUGUACUGCAAAUUAUUGCAUUGCGCUGUACAACAUAUACGCCAACUCUGUUGCUUAUUGAUAUCUGAAUGGCUUGGUCCACAUAUGUGGUGUGUAGGGUUGGAUGGGCCCUCGAGUUCUUAAGUGGUGUAUUGGUUGGAUGAGCUUAAACAGCUCUUAUAAGGUGUGAUCGGGGGACGGAGAGGUGUGUUGGUUGGAUGGGUGGGUUUUAUCAUCUGAUUGCUUUCACACGCAUUGAUCUGAGUGUUCUGAGUGUAUGACUAUCUAACUAUUUUCUAUUUGACUGAAUUCACUUGUGACCAAGUGUCUGUGUGUGAAUUGGGGUGCUUAAGUGUUAUGUUCUAUUGGGACGUGAGUUCCAAGUCUCUUUUUGACUCAGUUUAUUUCUGCAAAUCUGAUGUGAUAUUUUUUUGAACUCCAUAGUUUGUUUUUAGUUUUGAUUCGAACUCACACUGAGCUUGAGUAGCUCACCCCCUCUUAAUGUUUCCCUUUGAGGUACACUUUUGGAUUCUGACGCUGAACUCGAUAUGGGGAGGUCUUAGACAGUCUCAAUAGAAAUAAAUGAUUAUGAGUUUAUAUUUUCAGUUUAUAUUUGGUUAAAGGAUUUUUGAACCGUAAGAUUUUUUAAAGUUGUGGUACAUGUUUUGUUUAAAAUUUUAAUCAUUUAUUUAGUUCCGUUUACAUAUAUUAAUUUAACAGUAAUUCUAUCGUUUGGGUUUUAAAUGAUUAAAUGUUUCAGUUUGACUUGAGUACUUAUUUUGAAAAUUUUAACUAUUGUUACUUCAGUGACCAAUGUGACAUUCAGGAUUCGGUCUAAACUUCUAGGCCGGAUUUUGGGUGUUACAUUUAGUGGUAUCAAAGUCAAGUUUGCAAAAACUCGGCCUGUGUUUUUACGUAUCCAUGUACGCACGUGGUUGUUUUAAAAAGGAAUUUUUGAGAAAAUUUUACCACAGUAAGCUGCAAAGAUUUGUGCUUUGAAAAAAGUUUUAUGGAAAAGAACUGUCGGAGACUCUGAUGCUGGUCCAGGUAGAAAUUCGAAACUGUAAUGCUAGAAAUAUAAAUUUUUGUAUUUAACCUGUGUUCAUUUUCUAAAAAUGUAGAUAUCUUAAGUUAGCCUCAGGACGGAUAUGGGUUCUGAAGGUGAGAAAGAUCGUGAAGAUCAAUCUGGUGAGACUCACGAGAAGUCGUCUACUUCUCUAGGGCGUGAGAUUGUUCAGGAGUUUGGGGUCCAUGUGAUUUCGUCAACUUCAGGUAGCCAUAACCCGGAGCUUAAUACUGAGGCAUUGACUCAGGUAGUGAGAGAGGUAUUAGAGAAGGUAUUCGAGGCUAAGAUAAGGGGGACUAGUGAGACCCUUUAAGCUAGGUGUGUGGACUGUGGAAAGAAAAGAGAUCGCAGUUCUUCGAGGUUGGAGCCUCAUUCUGCGAAGCGUGUUAGAACGCAUGUGAGUGGCAAUAGUGGUUUUACAGAGGGUGCUAGUAGUGGUGCAAGCGCUCCAUUUUGUGACCACAGUAAGAAGUGUCAUCCAGGCAAGUUUUGGAAAAAGUUGGGUGCGUGUUUUUGAUGCGGGUCCACAAAACAUCGAAAUCGGAAGUGCCCUCGAUGAUUUUGAGACAGGUAUGGUGGUGAAUAUUUCGACGAUUAGAUUAAAGUAUUGAAAUUGUGUGCAAUAGGACAACUGUGUGUCUGCUUCAGUGGUUAAGUGUUUUGGGUGUGUGUGUGAGGUCUUAGAUUUGAUUUGGGUCUACUCGGGUUAGAGUGCACAGUGGGAGCGUGGUGGUGUAGUUUGUGAUUUACCAUUAUUUUGUUAGUUGGAAAUUUCGAGACAAAAUUUCUUUAAAGAGUGGUGAGUUGUAACGCCCUGAAUUUUAGGCUAGAAGUUUUGGGUUUUGUGAUUAGGGUCAAUGAGUUGGUGGUGCUAUUGAGUUUAGUUGUGCGUUUAAGUAGCAGAAUGGGCUUGCUAGUAUGGUGGUUGUAUGUGUGUGUUAGUUUGUCUCGGGGUUGGAGCCUUUGGUUCUGCGUUUGAUGUAACGUUUUAUUUUGGGUUUUGUUUUAAGUUAAAAUUUUAUUCUUUUUAACUAUUUAUUUUGAACUCUAUUUUUAAUUUUUAAUUUUAUUAUUAUUCUACUUUGUUUAAUUUUGGGGGGAACGCUCUUUCUUCUUUUUCUUUUUGGGGUUUUUGUUUUCGCUUUGAUUUUUUUCUUUAAUUCCUUGUUGAAAAUGGGUUUGCUUGUAGAUUUCGAAGAAUCUCGCUCCUCAAUCGUCGAAUCAGCUGUGGGGUUCGAAUCUUGUAUACCUUUAUUUUGUGAAUUAUUGUUUCAAAAAUUCUCGUUUGUGUUCUUAACAAAUCGAUUUUGGGAUGUUUGUUGCUGAAAAAGGUUUGGGAAUACAACAAAUCCUGAUACCCUUCUAUCAUUGCGAAGGUUGGGGCUGUUGCGAUGGCUGAAAUAGAUUUUUCUUGCUUGACUUGAGGUGGUUUUGUGGCAACUGGGGCUUCCACACGAGCGUGUGCUAGUUCACACAGCAGUGUGCUUUUGGGAAUUAAGGUUUCCAGGCCAAUUUUGGUGCCACACGACCGUGUGGUCGACUUGGGGAUUUUAUCGUUUCUCACCUUGUCGUUUCCCUCAGGCACACAGGCAUAUGAGAUUAGAGAUUAGGGUUUGAGUGAUUUGGUGCCACACGGCCGUGUGGCUAAUUUGGGAAUUUAAAGAUUCCACACGGUCGUGUGUUUUGAGGCACACAGCCGUGUCUGGUGGGCACACAGGCGUGUGAGACCCUCACACGGUCGUGUCAACCUUGUACUCAAAUUAAGUGCAAAUGGACAGAGAGUUACAAGGCCUGCUCCCACGGCCAUGUACCCGAUUUACACGGGUAUGUGCCCCUUUUUACACGGGCUUGUGACCUUCCACAUAGCCUAGGCAUGGCCACACGGCCAGAGUACACGGGCGUGUGGCUCUAAGUAACCCAUUUUGAUUCUGUAUGUGUUUGAUUCGAGCUUUUGCUUGUGUGUUUUGCCUUGGCUGAUCUUUAGUCAGGGUGGCUAAGAAUUCUGAUCUAGGCUUCGGUCUAAGUAUAUCGGUGGUUUUCAUGUGAGAUGUUUGAAUCUAAAUCUGUUCUGUUGGGUGUGUGUGCAUAGCCGUUCUGUCUGACUGUCUGAUAUUUUGUCUCUAUUUUGUGAUAUUGUAUGCAUACAUAGACCUGCAAUAUUUUGGGAUGGGUUUUGAAGAGAAGGGAGUCUGAUCUGAUCUGACAGUUCAAACUGUAAUUUGUUUGUACUGCGGAUUACCGCAUUGCACUGUACAGCAUAUACGCCAGCUCUACUGCGUAUUGAUAUCUUAGUGGCUUGGUCCACAUAUGUGGUGUGUAGGGUUGGAUAGGCCCUCAAGGUCUUAAGUGGUGUGUUGGUUGGAUGAGCUUAAACAACUUUAUGGGGUGUGAUCGGGGGAUGGAGAAGUGUGUUGGAUGGAUGGGUGGGUUUUAUCAUCUGAUUGCUUUCACACGCAUUGAUCUGAGUGUUCUGAGUGUAUGACUAUCUGAUUGUUUUCUGUUUGACUGAAUUCACUUGUGACCGAGUGUCUGUGUGUGAAUUGGGGUGCUUGAGUGUUAUGUUCUUUUAGGACGUGAGUUCCAAGUCUCUUUUUGAAUCAAUUUAUUUCUGUGAAUCUAAUGUGAUAUUGGUUUGAACUCUAUGGUUUGUUUUUAGUUUUGAUUCAGACUCACCUGAGCUUGAGUAGCUCACCCCCUCUUAGUGUUUCCCUUUCAGGUACACUUCUGAAUUCUGACGCUGGACUCGGUGUGGAGAGGUCUCAAACAAUCUCGACAGAAAUAAAUGAUUAUUAGUUUAUAUUUUCAGUUUAUAUUUGGUUAAACGAUUUUUGAACCGUAAGAUUUUAUAAAUUUGUGGUACAUGUUUCGUUUAAAAUUGUAAUCGUUUAUUUAGUUUCGUUUACGUAUGUUUAAUUCAACUGUAAUUCUAUCAUUUGGGUUUUAAAUGAUUAAAUGUUCUACUUUGACAUGAGUACUUGUUUUGAAAAAUUUAACUACUGUUACUUCGGUGACCAAUGUGACAUUCGGGAUUCGAUCUAAACUUCUAGGCCUGGUUUUGGGUGUUAUAGCAUUAAGCACGAGUAAUGAAAAUAGUAGAAAAAUAAACAACACAAGAUGUGUUUACGCAGUUCAAUUUCCCUACAUCUGUAGUGCCUUACCCAACGAGAAUAUUCACUAUCUUAGUACCUAGUACAAGUGUUUCCAAGCUCUAACAUUCAUCGGUUUAUAUUUUUCACUUUCAUACCUAAAAUCUAAACAUCUCCCAUCUAAUUUUUUCCCUUGAAAACUUAAGACUCUAACCAAGUCACACACUUGAUUAUUACAAAAUAAUGCACUCAAAAAUACGUUCCUCAUUAAACAAAAUAAAGUUCUCUUAAUCAAUACAAUGCCUAUGCAAGUUCUCACGAUAUAUAAAUGAGACUUGCUAACAUACUACAAUUGUUACAAUCAAUUAUCCCUCAAAUUAACUAAGAUAAAUAACACAUAUAAAAUAUUUAUAAUGCCACACGAUAAGUCUUCAAUCAACUAGAUAUCUUUUCUAUAAUGGCCAUGAGUCGAUCUGAUCCAUAAGAUAAGGGAUGAUGAUUACUUUGACCCAAUCCAAACUAAUCUCCAAGAUUUCUUGCUAAAUGUAGUUCGGAUAUGAAAGAUGGGUUCGCAAGUAUGUCACCAACUAAGGAAAUCAUAGCCUAAACAUAUUUGUUGCCAAAAUAUGCCAAUCCAAACAUGACAAUUUUUUUAUAUAACCAAUGCUACUACUACCUUGCACUUGUUUAGGCACUAGUCCAAGCACUCUAUGAAAAUAUAUACUUCAAUAAUCUCCUUCUUUGAAAAAUUUUUUAACAUAAAAAAAUAAAAAAAAGGAGAGCUUAACCAACAAUAAACUUCAAUGCUCCCCUUAAGUAACAACCCUUAAUCCAUCAUACUAUAACUACUAAUAUAACCAAACAUAUUAAUCAUUAAUGCAUAUGAACCAAAAUAGCAUUAAGAAGAAAAACUCUCAAAGUUCAUAUCAUAGCUAUUAUAGACAGUAUAAGGUUCACAAAAGAUUAACCAACUAAAUAAAAAAGUUCAAAGUUAAACACCAUUACUAGCUAGUAAAAGAUAUAAAAUCUUGUGCAGCAAGUGAACUUUAAGAAAAGUCCAUCAACUAAAGCAAAUGAUCUAGAACUAAACAAGAGCAGUAAAAGAUUGAUUAUACUAAAUUAGUUGUAGUAGAAAACAAGCCUAAGCAGAAGUCUAUUGAAAAUGUGCUACCAAAAACUAUGAUUGACAACAAAGGCAAGUUUCCCUAAUCAACAAUGCCACCACUAGUGCUAGCUCCUAGCAAUACUACUCCCUUUUUUUUUUCAACAAAUUUUCCAAACAUCAAUGAAGUAGCUUGGGUAGCAGGUCAUUCCUUAAGGCUUUGGCUCUUCUAACAUUGACUUGGAGUUAUUGAAUGGCUUGCUCUUGGGAGGCAAUCUCAGUGAUAAACUAUAAAAGUAACAUGUUUUUAAUCCUAUUCUUGAUGCCUUUUUGGAUGAUUUAUUAUGUAAAUUAGUGAAUUUGUUGCUCCUAAUCCUUUAAAUUCAUGUUUCUAUACUUAGGUGAGCAUAACGAAGCGAAAGGAGCGAAAAACGGGCCAAAAUCAGACAAAAGAGCUGGUUUCAGGAUCCACACGGUGUGGGCAUUACACACGGGCUGGUCACAUGCCCGUGUGAGCCACACGGGCUGGCCACACGCCCAUGUGCCAGCCCAUGUCGAUUUCACACCCUGUUUUCUUUUUACAUGAAAAAAUUCAAUUUUUAGGGAUUUUGAGCAUUCUAAAGUUUAUAAAUACAUAGUAGAAGAGGACCUAGGAGAGCACACAGAGAAGAACAAAGAAAAGACUCAAAGAACGCCACUAGAUUCAGUUUAGAAGUGGAUCUCCUUCAAGAUUGAAGAUCUCUAUUCAAUUUUUUUAGAAGUUUUAUUAGGUUUUUUUUGUCUUGUUGUUUUCUGAACUUUGAGAUAAUGUUAUUCCAGAUUAUGAACUAAAUUCCCUAGAUGCCUAGGGAAGAUGAAACCUAUAUGAACCUUAUUAUUUGAUUUCUGAAUUACAUGAUAAAUACUUGAUUCUUGUUCUCAAUUAUGUAUGCUUAUUUCAUGUUUUAAUAUUUUUAAGAUAUUAAUUCAUGCUUAAUGUGCUUAAUUCAGUGGAGCAAAAGUCCCUGUUUAAGAGUAGAUCGAGCAUAAUUGAGUGGAGUUGCAUGCAAUCCUAGAAAUAAGACGACAUAAAUCUACUAGAUUAGAGUCAAAUCUAAUAGAAGAAUCCAUAGAUCGAGUUAAUGCAACAAUAGGGGUUUUAAUUAGAAAGAGAUUUUAAUUAAUCAACCUAGAGUCAGUUGUUUUUACUCUUGAAAGAGAUAUUAACAUAAAUUAGGAAUUUCCACGGAUCAAGGCACGAAUGAAUAAAUCGUUUAAUUCAGAUUCUGAAUAAUAAGUGAAGUCUAGGUGGAUUCUUUCCUAGGUAUUGUCUAUCUCAUUGGUUUAAUUCGAUUAUUUACCUAAUUCAUUCUCUAUCAUGUUCUUAGUAAUUAGUUUAGUUAAUUUUAGAUUAAAAACAAUUCCUUCAAUUUAUCGGCUAGUUAAUAGAAAAAGAAUAAGUACUAGUACUUUUAGUCCUCGUGGAUACGAUAUUCCCGACUCACUAUAGCUAUACUAUUAUUCGAUAGGUGCGCUUGUCUUUGUCGUAAUUUUAGUUAGUUUAGUGUCCAUCAAGUUUUUGGCUCCGUUUUCAGGGAUUAAAAUAUUAGGAACACUCGUUUUUUUAUUAAUUUAGCCAUUUUUAUUUGUAUUGCAUUUUAUCUUUGUUUUAGCUUAAUUUUUGGUUUCUAAUUUUUUCUUUUAUUUGCUUCUGACAGGUUCUUUUAGUUUAUAACUAGAAGAAAACCGUCGGGACCUUUGGUAUUUGAUAGUCAAAUUAAAAGUUAUAGCUCGUAGAAACCGUAGAAAAGCAAAGCAGAAUCGACAGAAUAUAGUGGAAGAGUAAGAGUACGUUAUUGUUAUUACUAAGGAGAUGGUUGAUAAUUAGAAUAAUCAGCUACCUCCUGUGGUUGCCGCAAAUACUGCAAAUCUGAAUCCUAUUCCUCGUAAUAUGUACGAUUAUGCCAAGCCCACUCUAAGUGGGGCUAAAUCGAGUAUUGUAAGACCUACCAUUGCUGCAAAUAAUUUCAAAUUGAAGCCGAACACUAUUCAAAUGAUUCAACAGUUUUUUCAGUUCGAUGGUUUGCAAGAUGAAGAUCCAAAUACUCAUUUGGCUAAUUUUCUGGAAUUUUGCGACACUUUCAAGAUUAAUGGCGUUUCUGAUGAUGUCAUUUGGCUACAGUUGUUUCCCUUCUCGUUGAGGAACAAAGCUAUGCAGUGGUUGAAUUUCUUACCACGAGGUUCGAUCGUUAUGGGAUCAAAUGACCGAGAAAUUUCUUUUGAAGUACUUUCCACCGGCUAAGACAGCUAAGCUAAGGAAUGAUAUCUUUUCCUUCGUACAGAUGGACUUAGAGACCCUAUAUGAUGAACCAGAGAGGUAUAAUAAUUUAUUGAAAAGGUGCCCUUACCAUGGGUUACCUUUAUGAUUACAGGUUCAAACAUUCCACAACGGUUUGAAUCCCUCAACUAAGCAGUUAAUCGAUGUAGCAACCGGUGGUACUCUGAACAAUAAAACACCUGAAAUGGCUUAUGAGUUUAUUGAGGAAAUGUCACUGAAUAAUUAUCAGUGGCAAGUCAUUAGGACGAAGCCGAUGAAAGCAGUCGAUGUUUUUAACGUAGAUGCAGUCACCAUGUUAUCGAAUCAGGUAGAACUUUUAAGUAAGAAAAUUGAUGGUUUAUAUGGUUCCACGCAGGUAUAUCCAGUGAUGCAGUGCGAUUCAAAUGGAUGAGAAACAAACAAUCCAGAAUAUUUACCCUACGAUUCUAGCACAGAAGACAAACAAGUCAAUUGUAUGGGUAAUAAUUCUAGGUCUCAGAAUAAUCCUUACAGUAACACUUAUAAAUCAAGUUGGAGGAACCGUCUCAAUUUCUCUUGGGGUGGUCAAGGAAACUAGAGACCACAACCCCCUCCAGUCUUUCAACAACAACCUUACCAAUAAGAGAAAAAGUCAAACCUUGAGGAGAUGCUAACGAAGUUUAUUUCGGUGUCAGAAACCCUUUUCCAAAACACCGAACAACACUUAAAAAUUAAAAAGCAUCGAUUCAAGGGCUCGAGAACCAAAUUGAUUACUUGAUAAGUUGAUUUCAGAAAGGCCACAAUGUAGCUUGCCUAGUAAUACCGAAAUUAACCUGAAGGAGCAACUUCAAGCAAUUACUAUGAGAGAUGAAGAAAUAUUAGUUGAAUCUGAACCAAAAUCGAGGCAAAAAAAUAUGUUAAGUAAAAGUAAAGUUGAGGUAAGCUAAAAUGAACAAAAGUAGUCAGUAAGGAAUAUAAACCUCGUAUAUCAUAUCCCAAUGCAACAAAGAAAGACCACACAAACAAACAAUUUGGUAAAUUUAUUAAACUUUUGAAAAAGUUACAUAUCAACUUACCAUUUAUUGAAGCUUUUUCGCAGAUGCCCAAUUCAGUUAUAUUUUUAAAGGAGCUUUUGGAAAACAAAUGGAAGUUAGAUGAUUCGUCGCACGUUGAGCUAAAUGCAGUGUGCUCAGCCAUUCUGCAAAAUAAACUACCCAAUAAAUUGAAAGAUCCAGGGAGUUUUACUAUUCCUUGUUUAAUUGGUAGUUUAAAUGUUGGUAAUGCUUUGGCUAAUUUAGAGGCAAAUAUUAAUGUCUUGCCCUAUAAAAUAUUUAAGCAACUAGGUUUUGGGAAACCCAAACAGACUAGGAUGAGUACUCAAUUAGCAGAUAGAACCAUUAGAUUUCCUACAGGUAUUGUUGAAGACGUACUUGUGAAAAUUGAUGAAUUCAUAUUCCCAGUUGAUUUUGUUGUUUUAGACAUGGAUGAGGAUAGUGAUGUACCUUUAAUCUUAGGACAACUUUUUUUAGCAACUGCCAGAACUAUUAUCGAUGUUGGUACAGGUGAAUUGAUACUUCAUGUAGGUGAUGACACGAUUAAACUCCAAGCUCGUAAUUCUGUUAAGACAUCUAGUGAUCGAAAUGAUUAUAUGAGUUCUGUUAAUAUGUGUAACCUUGUGGCUCUAACUUUUUUGCAAGAAAUUCCUCGGAAGAACAUAGUGGAGCCACGUUCCAAUCCUUGAGACAAAAAUAGAACGAUUCAUGAAGAACGAAUGCUACUGAUCAAUGAACUAGAUGAAUGGCAAAUAUAUGUCAAGGAGAAACAGAGAAUACACGAUGCAGAACCAAACGAUGCCAUGACGAGCAUAAGGAUGGAACGAAUCAAUUUAAGGUUGAGGGCCAGGUACUAUUAGAUAAAAUGGACCCUCGAAUUACCACUGUAGAGCUUAAUACAAACGGAGCAACUCCUUUUACGGUAUUGAAUGUCUUCCUAUACGGUACAGUCGAGGUAACUCAUUCUGAAUUUGGCACUUUUAAGGUAAUAUUACUCGACUCAAACCUUAUUUUGAUAAUAGAAUUAAUAGUAAGAAAGAGGAGUUUCAACUCCGCGAACCAUCAUGACCAUGCGAAUACAAGGUAAGUCGAGCUUAGACUUUAAAUAAGCGCUUCUUGGGAGGCAACCGAGCGUUAACACUACUAAUUUCUUAAUUUUGUCCAUGAUAUUUUUUAAAAUUAAUUAAUUUUUAAAAUUAGAAAAAAAUGUUUUUUGACCCACAUUGCUUGGACACACGAGGGUGUCCCAGGUCGUGUACACUAAAAGGGGUUCGACAGUAAGUUACACAGCCUGGUGACAUGGCCAUGUGACCCACACGGCUUGGACAAUGGGCAUGUCCUUGGCCAUGUGGAUUCUGGGACUUAAUUUUUUCAAAAAUCGAUAGAGACACGACCUAAAAUAGUCCAUACGAGCGUGUGACACGUCGUGUAGACCACACGGCCUGGACACACGGGCAUGUCCUAAGCCAUGUGAAACUAAAAGCUAAUUUUUUUCAAUUUUAAAACAAGUCAGAGAGUUACACGGGUAAGGCACACAGCUGUGUGCGAGACAAGACCGAGCCACACGAGCGUGUGGGAGGUCACACGGGCGUGGGAGAAGUAAAAGAGGUUGCACACGGCCAUGUGAACACACGGGCGUGUCCAAGGUCAUAUGAAGACUGGGUUAAAAAUUUUUAUCGCACACAAGCUAAACAAAAGCCACAAGAGCGUGUGACACAAUUGUAUGGCCCAACACGGGGCCUUAAACGACCGUGUCCCCUUUUAACCCCCAACCCUAAUUUUUUUAUUUUUACUUUACCUUCUUCCCUGAAUUCUCCAACCCUAGCAGUCGGUUCCAAAGCCUUCCCCUACUCCAGCCACCUUUCACAACCAUCGACCGCACCAAUCUCGCUCGUUUUCUUACUCUUGUUGACAACCCUAUUCACCUAAACCACCCCUCGCCUCGAACCCUCUCAUCCAGCAACCCCCACGACUACAUCAGCCACGUCUCCUCACCUCGCCCUUUCCUUUCCCUUCCUCCCUUACCAACAUUAGAGCCACACGCACCCCCGACCUUCACAACCCCUCCCUCUCCCUCCUUCCUGAUCUCCCCCUUCCAUUCCAUUCUCCCUUAUAGCUAUUUAGCCAACAUUUAGCCACACCUUGAGCGCACCACCGUCGCCGUACUCCAUUCCAUCAUCAUCGUCCGGUCGCCACUACCAUUUCCCCGUCAGUCAAUGAUUGUUGUCCUAUUUUAUUUAUUUCUUUAUUUGUUGCUUGUUUAUUAUUAUUAUUAUUAUUAGUUAUUUUAUGUUUAUUAUCUAUUAUUCUCUAGUCUUAGUUAUAUUCUUUUAUUUUCCUAGUUAUAUUUGUUUACUAACCUUAUUAUUAUAUUUAUUUCACUUUGUUUAUCAUUCAUUUUUUUUCUUAAUGCUACUGUUUUAGUUUAUUUUUCUAGCCAUUAGUAUGUUUCAUCCUUAGUUUAUUAAUUUGAAAUCAUUACUCACUAUUUCUAUUACUAUUGUUCCUUUUUCUUAGUAUUAGAAUUGUUUCUUUAUUUAUUUACUCCUGCUUUUUAUUUUCUUGCUUUCAGAAUUUCAUGAGUUGUCUUUUCUUAUUUCUUAUUAUUUUAGGAGUAAUGUGCUAUUUAGGACUACUUGGAUUUUACCUUUUUAGCAUUUGGUGAUGUGUAUUUUCUGAUAGUGAAUUAUUUUAUUUCAGGAUUAUUAUGACGAACACAGCGGAAAGUCUAAGGUCGUCGCCCCUGUUUAGAAAAAACGGAAGACCCCUGGCAUGACCUCCUCUUCGAGCGCUUCCGCCAAGGCUUGCCACCCUUAUCUCCUAUUUCCUACAGGCCCCUAGGAGGAUUCAUUUUAGUUACUUCAAAAGUGCCCACUCGGUCUAGGCCAAUGUAUUAAUUGGGCCGCGUUAGAGCAGGUCUGACUACCUAAUGAUAUUCGUUCCUUUAUUACCACAGCUCUUUGGGACAGAUUCUUCUCCAUCAUCGAGCCCACAUAAAUGGAGCUAACGUUGGAGUUUUGCUCGAUAUUUAUUCUAUAACAGGUCAUGACGACUCAUGAUGAGCCAGGCACCAUCACUUUUUGACUUGGUGGCUUGGUGCGCCAGAUAAGUGUCCUCGAGUUUGGUGCUACUAUGAGACUCUACACUGAGGAGUUCAUGAGUGCCGAGAACUUCCUCCGUCUACAUCGGCACAUCCAUUACACACCAUCACAUUGUUUGACAAAGCUUACAGCAAGUCAAGCACUUUAUGAUGCGAGUCGCUCGAAGGCGACUUCUCUCUCUCCAGCUUUACGGUACCUUCAUGCACUUUUAACUCACACUUUGACAGGUAGGAGAGAAAGCACUGGAGUCGUUAGUAGUCAUGAUGCCUGUUUUCUAUGGAGCAUGGCCAUCGAGCAUAUCUUUGAUUUGGCAUACUUCAUCGGCUUAGCCUUCUGCCAUCAGACUAACCGCCAUAAGAAGGGCUCCAUCUGUUUAGGCCCUUAUGUGACUCGUCUUGCUUGACACUUCGGUCUUCUCGACACACCGGAGCAGUCCUCCACACUUACUCUUGUCGGCCAGAUGUCCCCUCAGGGAAUCUCGAGCAUGAUUCAUAUUAGGAUGAUCGAGCAGCGUCGUGGAGUGGAUCCUCCCCAGUAUCGAUCAUUUCAUUCUGACGCUUAGAAUGAACUUGAAGACUUCACUGAUAAUGUUCCUCUCUAUCAUGAGGACCCACCAUAGCCUCUACAUUCGAGUUACUGCCCUUUUUCUUCUACUAUUACUUUAGCGAAUCUCUUCAAGUGAUUCACUCACUUCGAGCAGUACUGCAUUUAGAGGUUCGACAGUAUUAACGCAACACUGUAACAGAUAUGUUAGCAUCUCCAUAUCUCCUCUUCAGCACCGACAACUCAAGACACUGACAUGUCUGAUGAUGAGGACCAUUGAGUCCAUUUUUUUUUCUUUUUCAUUUUUAUUUUCUUAGACUUCUUUUGUUUUUAUAUUUUGAACUAUAUUUAUUUUUAUGGUUGUUUCUAAUCGAGUAUAAUCCCUUAAUCUUAUUCACUAUAUGUGUUUAUUUUCUUAGAAGUUUGGUCGGAAUCAUGCACUACAUCUAGAUCUGUAUUCAAUUCUGCUUUUCACUAUUCUGGGGAUCUCAUCCAAUAUUCAGACAGUUUCAGUUUUCUCCCUCUCUCAUGAUAUUCUGUUUAUACUAUGAUUAUAUCUAUUUGUAUACUGAGGACAAUGUACAUCUUAAGUGUGGGGAGGUUAUUUAUAUAAUUAUUAGAAAAUCUUUGAAUUAUGUCUUGUGUUUAGGUAAUUUUCUCAUACUUCUAUUAGAAUAAAUUUUAUUAGUUUAUGAUUUUUGUUGAUGUGUUUUGGAUUAAAUUCAUAGCUAUUGUGCAUUGAUUGUUUAAACUUUAAGACAUGAGAGAAUUAAGCAUGAUAAGUUGAUUUUCAAAAAAAAAAUUAUCUUGUUCCCUGAAUUAAGGUAUUAUCUUGAAGUUUUAAAUUUACAAGUUUGUCAUCAAAACCAUAAUCUUUUGUGAGAUUUUGAGCCUUUAGAGCAUACACUUUUCUUACUUAUUUUAUUAUUGGUUAUGAGUGUGUCAGUAUUGAUUUGUUAUUCUAGAACUUAUUACAAUUAUGCAUGUCGAGACCAUACCUUUGAUUUGAUAUACUGAGAUGAUAAAGGCACUUAGGUUUUAACAAAGCCUACCUUCAUAAUUAACCCUUAGUGAACCUUGUUGAGCCUAACACACCGUUUCUUGAUUUACCCAUCCAUGUUAACCCAUAGCUCAUUCUUUUGGUUCGUUGCAAAAUUUUCCCAUUUUAUUGACUCCCUUUUUAUCGAGAUUUGAUCUGGUUAGUUGCCUAACUAUGCUCUUUUGUUUCAUUUGCUGAGUUGUUUCUUAUUGUUCUAAAAAAAACAUGAUUAUUACUAGUUCUAUGUUAAUUGAGCUUGAACAGUUAAAUCCAUAUUUUGAGAAGAAGCUCGUGUUAUUCUUGAUAAGUUUUUGACUGAUGUAAUUAUUCAACAUUAGUUUAUUUUUCUAGUUUGGUAAUUUAUCAAUUCAAUCUCGAUUUGAACCAACUUUUUUAGCCUUUCUCCACACCCUUAACCUAAGCCCCAUUAAAACUUCUUAAAGACCUUUUGAUUUGUAUAUCAUCUCAUUUUAUAGUGGUGGAGAUUUGACUUUCAUGCAAGCCUAUGGUAAUGACUUUUCAUGUUUGACUAUUAAGUGCUUAUUUUUGAACCUUAAACACUUUGAGUGAUUUGAAUGAAUCUUUAGUGAGGAUGUCAAUUCUUUUUGGUUUUGAAUUAAAGGUAAUUACUUAGAUAAGGGGAAAGAUCUAUGUUUUCAUGUGUCAAAAAAUGCUUGACUUGAAUUGUUUGAAUCUUUAAUGCUCUUUUAGUUGAAUUAUCAAUGUAUGAUUAUUUGUGAAUUAUUUCAAAACAGUAUUGAUGAUAAUUAUAAGUUGAGAAAGAUUAAUUUUUAAUUAUUAGUUGAGGAUUUUGCUUGAGGACAAGCAAACGCUUAAGUAUGGGGAUAUUUGAUAAGCUAUAAAAGUAACAUGUUUUUAAUCCCAUUCUUGAUGUGUUUUUGGAUGAUUUAUUAUGUAAAUUAGUGAAUUUGAUACUCCUAAUCCUUUAAAUUCAUGUUUCUCUACUUAGGUGAGCAUAGGGGAGCGAAACGAGCGAAAAACAAGCCAAAAUCAGACAAAAAGAGCUGUUUUCAGGAUCCACAUAGCCUGGGCAUUUCCAUAUGAGAUGGUUACACAUGUGCCAGCCCGUGUCGAUUUCGCACCCUGUUUCCCUUUUACGCAGAAAAAGCCAAUUUUUGAGUAUUCUGAGCAUUCUAAAGUUUAUAAAUAUAGUAGAAGAGGAUCUAGGAGAGCACGCGGAGAGGAAUGAAGAAAAAACUCGAAGAACGCCACUGGAUUCAUUUCAGAAGCGAAUUUCCUUCAAGAUUGAAAAUCUCCAUUCAAUUUCUUUAGAAGUUUUAUUGGGUUUUUUUUUGUCUUUUUGUUUUCCUAACUUUGAGAUAAUGUUAUUCCAUAUUAUGAACUAAAUUCCCUAAAUGCCUAGGGAAGAUGAAACCUAUAUGAACCUUAUUAUUUGAUUUCUGAAUUACAUGAUAAAUACUUGAUUCUUGUUCUCAAUUAUGUAUGCUUAUUUCGUGUUUUAAUAUUUUCAAGAUAUUAAUUCAUGCUUAAUAUGCUUAAUUCAGUAGAACAAAAGUCCCUAUUUAAGAGUAGAUCGAGCAUAAUUGAGUGGAGUUGCAUGCAAUCCUAGAAAUAGGAUGACAUAAAUCUACUAGAUUAGAGUCAAAUCUAAUAGGGGAAUUCAUAUAUCGAGUUAAUGUGACAAUAGGGGUUCUAAUUAGAAAGAGAUUUCAAUUAAUCAACCUAGAGUCAAUUGUUUUUACUCUCGAAAGAGAUAUUAACAUAAAUUAGGGAUUUUUAUGGAUCAAGGCGCAAGUGAAUAAAUCGUUUAAUUCAGAUUUAGAAUAAUAAGUGAAGUCUAGAUGAAUUCUUUCCUGGGUAUUAUCUAUCUCAUUGGUUUAAUUCGAUUAUUUUCCUAAUUCAUUCUCUGUUACAUUCUUAGUAACAGUUUAGUUAAUUUUAGAAUAAAAAAUUUCCUUCAAUUUAUUAGCUAGAUAAUAGAAAAAUAGUAAGUACUAGUACUUUUAGUCCUCGUGGAUACGAUAUUCCUGACUCACUAUAGUUAUACUAUUAUUCGAUAGGUGCGCUUGUCUUUGUCAUAAUUUUAGUUAGUUUAGUGACCAUCACUCAGCAUCAAGAUAAUGAAGCAUCCUUUGUUCAAAAGCUGAUAGUUGAGCAUAUUUUCCUUCCUCAACGAAAACUCCUUCAAGCACUAUCUCUAUUGGUAGAUCUACUGCACCAAAAACAGUCUCAGGUAUAGAAGCCUUGUGUUUCCCUUCGAACCACUUGUAAGAAAACUUCUACUCUGCCUGCUUUCUCUCAUAUUUCUCCGUAGCCAAUAUAAUUUUAGAAUUUUGAUUAUACGUAAUCUGAAAAAUAAUAUAAGUAUGCUUGAGAUUUAAGGCUUGAAGUUUUGUAGCUUGAGGCUAUGUAGGAUGAACAUCAUUUGUGAUGAUGUUGACCAUGGUGUCAUAAGACUCAUCAAGUUCAGCAUUUGUAGUGGAUGAAUGCAACAACAAGUCUUUAUCCUGAGCAGGCCCAAAAUCAUACCACCCCCUCUUACAUAUACCUUGUCAUAAAGUUUGCUUGCAAGAUUAUUGAUAAUCUUCAGCAGAUUUGCAUAGAAUUCAUACACCACAUCCUUCACAUAUGGUUUGAAAAACGCAACCAAUUAAAGAAGUUCAUUCUUAUCAAGGAUUAAUCAAUCCCUUUAUCAUCGAUGUUUUGUUCUUCAAUAAAAGGUUUUUUUGUAAUAACUCGAUUUUCAAUAGUGUUGAAAUAUUUAAUUUUAGGGAUCAAUUUUAUUAAAACCGAGACAUUCGUAAUUUGGAACUGAAUAAUUACGUGUCAAGUAUAUAAUUGAGAGAUCAAAUUAUUAAGUGAUAAUAAAUUAAACCAAUUAUUAAAAAUAAUACGAGGAAUAAAUUGUAAUGUUAAUUAUACGAGUGAAUUUGAUUAAAUUUUAAACAGGCCUUUAAUGUGUAAUAAAACCAAUGACCAAAAAGGUAAUUAAAUCAUCAUUAAAUUAAUUAGUUGAGUGAAAUAAGCAUCACCAUCCAUUAGCACUGAUGGUUUCUUAAAUUAAUUAAACCAUUAAUUAUUAUGAUUAUUUUAAUUAAUAAGAUUUUAUCAAAAUAAAAGUAUGAUAAAGGGAUAAAAAAGAAUAUUUAUUCUCCCAUUUCUUCUUUUAGCUACAAGCAAAACAAAACAAAAUGUCUAAGUUUUCUUACAUACAACCAAAACCAUGAGCUUGCCAAAGGUUUUAAAUAAUUUUAUUUCAUAACUUUUGUUAAAUUAUGCUUUAAAAAUGUUAUAUUUAAUUAGCCUUAAUAUUAAAAUUGUUGUUUAAUAAGUUUUGGUUUUGUUUCCAUGGUUGGAAAUCUUAAAAAAAAAAUUGAAGAUUUAGUGUUUAAGCGCAUGCAUGUGUAAUGUUGGUUAAUUUAUGGAAAGGUUAUGUUAGGAAAUGCAAUAGGGAGCAUGAAAUUAAGGUUAGAUUAAGUUUUAAUUACUUGAUUAAUUAAGUUUAACUAUGGACCUAAUUGUAAGAGAUAACAAUUUUGAGGUUUAAUAUUGAAAGAUAGUAAUGUGAGGUCUCUAUACUAUAUUUAUAAAUUCGGAUUUAAAUUUGAUUGGGUAAAUUGUGAGAUGCAAGUGUUUCAAAUUUCUGGAAUUUGAGGGAUCAAAUUUGUAACACCCAUCGUUCAACCCAAUCGUUGAGUGCGAGCUAUAGGUUGCUACAUUAGUUACCACAGCAACUACAAUUGAAUUCACAGUAAAAUAAUAAGUCACACAUGCAAUUAAAUGUCAAACACAUUCAUUUUAGGUUAAUCAUUCUACUUCAAGGCUUAAUCGAGCUUACAAAAGCUCUUUCAUUAACUUGGCACGAAAUAAAACCAAAAUGCAAAGUUGUAAAAGUUCAGGGCUGACACCGUGAUAUCCUCUUCCCCACGUUGUGACAUCGCCAAAUAGUUUGUCACUUCGUGACCUCAGGCCACUUGACGUCACAACGUGACUCACUAUCAGUCGACGUUGUGAUGAGGUAAGUUGGUUGUUAAGAUGUGGACUUUGUUUUUUGGUAAAAAUGAACCAUUUAAUACCUAUUUCAAAGUUUCCAACCAAACCUAUUAGCAUAUUCAACAAAAACCAAUUUCAAUUGAAUCAAAACAUACCAAAAAUAUGCCAAAUAGUCAAGCAUCUAUGUUCAAGUUCUUAUCUAGUCAAUCACUACUUAUAUUCCAUGUAAACCUAAACAAUUCAAUGCCAUUACAACCUAACUUUCAAGUCAUGCAAUUUCCAAACUUUACAUAUGUCAAACCACCUUGAAACAUACUAUUAACAACUUAUGAACACAUAAACAUAUCCAAAACUUAUAGGCAUUUAACAUACCAUCAAUAUCUAAAUUAGGCCACAUUUUUCAAGCAUACUUCAAGUUAAUCAUGUUCAAAUGCAUUUCUAUCUCAUUCACCUAUACCAUUUCUAUCUCAUUCAAUGUUAUUCCAUAUGUUCAUCACAUCACUAAGCAUAAAAUGCAUAUAUGUUCAUCUCCAUAUGUGAAUCAAAACUCCAAAUCAUCACAAGUUACCAAACUUAUCAAGAUGUCUUAUACAUCAAGGAUAGUGUAAGCUUCAAGAAAAUUCGGUUUGACGUGAUUCGCAAGGUGACGAUCUAUAAGGAAAAGAGAAAAAAAACUAGGUAAGCUAAUUAGUUUAUCAUUAACAACCAAAAAUCAAUUACUAUCGAGUUAAAUUUACAGUUUAUUCAUAAAAUCCUAUUUACAUGCUCCUAAUCAAUCACUUGUAUUUCUACAAGCUCAAGCACACAUAAGCACACAAAAUUAAAAUUAAUUAUUAAGAAAAUAAAAGCAAGUGACAAAAAUUUAAAAAUUUUGAAAAAAAUUGAAAAAUUCUAUGUUAUCCCUGUAUUAACCCAAAUUUACCCGACCCAGAAAAUAAAAAAACAAAAAAUAAAAAGUCCUUUACAGUCCAUUUACAAAUCACGCCAGUAGCCCAUUACACUUAAAAGCCCUUUAACCCGAACUAGACCCAAAUUAGUGAGGCCCAGGAAGGCCCAAUGCCUAAAUUGAAUCAGGAAACCCUAGGGUUUCCAGAAACUUCGCGCCGCAAACGCCAAACGUCAAGCCACUUUAUCUCGCGCCGUUUCGGUGACCCCUCAUCGACACUUCCAUCGGCGUUGUGACUACUGUAAUCUACGCACAAAUCAACACCCUAUCGUUGCUAAAUUUCUCGCUGGUACCUGCAAAAAAGGAAAGAAGAACAAUAAAGGCAAUACAAAUAUGGCAGGGAAUAAAAUCAAACAUGUUAAAUAUUAUUUUCAGUGGCUAUAAAAGGCCGAAUCAAAAUGAUGUAAAGCACGGUUUUUUUUAUAAACGGAGAUAUACAAUAAAGAAUACAAUAGUUUAUCAAAGAAAAUAGAGGUGAUUAGUUCUUUACCUUUUCUUCUUGUUGCAAACAUAUACAAAUGUUAUUAAAAUAAAAGGAAAGGGAGUUUACUGUUGGAUUUGCGCUAAAAAUCGGAAGCUUUUCGGCUUUCGGCCGCCGUAUCUACCGGAGUUGAUGACGGCACGUGGGCGCGUGAGUCCGAUGACCGGGGCUUGGCCCGACGGAGGCUGGACCCGGGAGGACUUCCUCUCUUUUCCUCUUUCAGAGGGUUUCUGUUCUUCUUUUUUUAAAACCAGGGGCUAAAAUGAUUUUUUAAGUUUUUUUUACAUUUAUAAGCUACCUAUAAGACGUCGUUUUGGGAUGACCGUUUAGUGACAAAAACGGUGUCUUUUCAUGGCUGAGGAUCCGCGCGUUGAACCGUGACCCGGGGAGGAUCCGCGCAUUUUUGGUAAAUGGGAAAAUUACUGUUUGAGCCCUUCCGCAUUUUUCGUUUUUUAAACGUCGUUUAAUUUUAAAUUUCUUUAUUUUUAAAUCUGGCCCUAAUAGUUUGUUUCUGUUUCAAUUUGGUUCCUGAACCCUUUAAAGUGUAAUUUUCGAAACGGCGCCGUUUUGGGAUUAGGGAUAAUUGCCCAGUGAGUCCCUUGUGUUUUGGCGCGCGCUUUAAUUGGAUCCCAAAUUCAUUUUAUUUUAAAAUUAACCCUAAAGUUUUGUUUUUAUUUCAUUUUAAUCCUUUUGAUUUUUUUAUAAAUUAUUUAUUUUAAAUAUAAUAUACAAUAUUUAUUUUUACCAUAAACAUUAUCUAUAUAUGAAAAAUUAUUAUAUAUAUUUUUUUAUUUUUUAUUUGUGUAUUAUUUGUUAUAUCAUUUACAUUUCAUUAUAUAUUUUGAUUUAUACAUUUUAUUAUAUAUCAUUUUAUUAUAUAUUAUUGUUAUUUUAUUAUAUAUUAUAAUUAUUCAUUAUUUAUUAUUAUAUAAUUUUAAAAUUUGUAAAUUAUUAUUAAAUAUUGCAUUUUUAUAUCAUUAUUAAAAUUUAGUAUGUAAUACACUAAAAUUUAUAAUAAAGUUUUAUUCCUAUUAUACAAUAUUAUUUUAUAAAACAUAUUAAAUUAUUACAUCAUAUAGUCUAUUUUUUAUUAAUCAUAUAUAAAAUCUUCUUCUUUACUAUUUAUCUAUGGUUUUAAAUAUUUUUUAAAAAUACCUCAUUUAAUUUUUAUUGUAUUUUAUUUUUUAUAUAUGUUUAUAAUUUUUUAUUUAUUUUUGCGUCCUUUUGGAUUUAUUUAGUAUCGUUUUAAUAUGUUCUCAAAAAUUAUUUGUAUUUUUAUGUUAUUUACUAUUUAUGUAUAUUUGCAUGAAAAUUGACUAUUUAUGUUGUUAUUUUAAGUUAUAUUUAUAUAUCAUAUUAUUGUACACAUAUUAUGCAAUUUAUAUUGUUAUAUAUUUGUCGAAACCCUUUUUUAAAUCGAGUUUUGGAAAAUGGGAAUCGACUUUAAAAAACGAAAAUGGGAGUCGCCACCAAUCUUUUUAGGUGUGAUUGGAUCACCUUUAAAAUAUUUUGUUUUAAAAUCAUUAGUUUUGGUCUACGAAAUAAAAGAACGGGUUUGGGAGUCGGUUACGUACGAGGAAGGAUUAACACCCUUGUAACGCCCAAAAAUUAGUACCUAAUUAAUUAUCAAAUGUCUUUAAGGUCGGAAAUUUAAGAAUUUUAAGAUACAAUCCUCUUUAAAAUAUUUUGAUUUUGAAAGUUGGGGUUCACUUGUAUCAAAAUAUUGACACUAAGUUAGCAUUUUGGAAAUCCCUAUCUCGAAAACAACAAAACGCCAUAUCUAGUAAGUUAGGACACAACGCUUUGAAAUUUCCAAGACAGUUGCUCGUAUUUUGAAAAUCUUUAAAAACUUAGAAGGGUACCUGACUAUUCGAACUCAACGAGAAAAGUUGCAACCCAAUAAGUUAGGGCACUACUUUUCUCGAUGUUUCCAAAUACCAAGCAUUGCCUUUUUAUUUUUUGAAAACUUUGAAGUCUCUUUUUUAAAACCGAUGCAUGAAGGAGCAUAUUAACAUAACAUACGAGAUAACAUAUAAUUCAACAUAAAACAUAAUACAUAUUUAAAAAGAAUAGGUAAAAAUUCCUAAACACAUAAUUCAACAUAUAUUUAAACACAAAUGAUGUAUGAUAUACAAUUUUAACACAUAUAUAAAAAAAUGCAUUUGAAAAUAAAUUAUAAAAGUCUAAGAUAUUACAUAACAUACAAAAUACAUAACAUAGCAGUAAUACAUUAAUUCUAAAGUAAAAGCAAAUAUUGUAUAAUAAUAAAAACAUAAGUUUUUUUUUAAAUAUAUGUAUAAUAUAAACAAUUGAAAAAUAGAAUUAGCAUAUAAAAUGUGAUAUUUAAUGAUAGAUUUAAAAUAUAAUAUAUAAUAAAAAAUAUAUUUAUAAGAAAAAUACUUAUAUAAAAAUAUAAAAUAUAUUGGUUUAGAAAAAUAAUGUAUAAAAUAUCAAAUAUGUAAAAUAAUUUAUAUUUAUAAUAAUUAUAUAAUAUAUAUAAAUAUAAGUUUAGAAUAAUGUGAAAUAAGUAAUUAAUGAUGAAAUAUACGUAUUAUACAAAUUACAAUAUUAUAAUAUCUUCAAAAUGUGUAAUAAUAGAAUAUAAGUAAAGUAAUUAUUAACAUAUAAAUAAAAAUAAGUAUAUAAUAUAAGUUAAAACCUUUAAUGAUAAUAAUGUAUAAAUAAAAAACAUAUAAUAGUAUAAAAAAUGACAUAAUAUAAAAUAAUUAUAAUAUAUAAUAUGAAAGUAUAUAUGUAAAAAUAAUGUAUAAUAUAUAAAUAAUUAAUAAAGAUAUAAUACAAGUAAAAAUAUAUAAAUAAUAAUGUAAAAUAAUAAUAAUUUAAAAAUAUAUAAUAAAUAAUAAUAAUAUGAAAUAAUAUAUGGUUAAUACAAUAGUGUAAAGAUAUAUAAACAUUAUGUGAUAAAAAUAUACUAUAAUAAAUGAUAUAUGUUAAAAUAUAUAUUAAUAUGAUAAUAGGAAGAUAUUAAGUAAUAUAAUAAAAUAUAAUUAAAUAAUAUAAAAUAUAAUACAUAUAUUCAUAUUAAAAUAUAAUAGUAUAUGUAUAAAGUUUUAAAAUAAAUAAGUUAUAAAUAGAUUAAAAGGGAUAAAAGGGGUUAAAUUGAACGUAAAUAAAAAGUCAAAGGCUAAUUUAAAAAGAGAAUAAUUGAGAUCAGACCUAAUUGAAACGGCCAUUGAAACUCUAGGGACUCAUCAGGAAAUUUUCCCUUGUCCCUAAACGGCAUCGUUUUAAUCCAGGACUUUAAACAGUUACUGUAAUGACUAAAUUAAAACUGAAGCAAAAUAUUAGGGCUAAAUCAUAAAUAAAAUAAAACAAAAGUUUAAACACAAAAAGGUGGAAGGACCAAUUGGGUAAUUAACCCAAUCCUAAAAAAACACGCGGAUCCUCCCCGGGUAUUCGGGUCAACGCGCGGAUCCUGGGGCCUUAAAACGUCGUCAUUUUAAGCUUAUCAGACUAAGCUAAAACGAUGUCGUUUCUCUUGGGCUAUAUAAGCCAAAUUUCGACCAAAAAAGUCAUUUAGGAGCCUGGUUUAAAAAAAAUCAGAGAAAUCCUCUAUGGGAGGAUUUGGGGUCGGCCUUAGAGCCUCGUUGGGCCCUUGUUCUCAGUCGUUACGCACCCAUGCGCCUCCGCGCACGGUGAUCGGAGGGCUAAAAAACCCUCGUCUUUUCUGGGCGAAAAUACAGGUAACUCUUCCGUUUUAAUAUUUUAGUAGUCGAUUUGCUGAUGAUGCUAAAUAUUUCAUAAAAAAACAGUAGAACAUGAAGUAUAUAUAUCACCUUAAAACUGCUUGUAACCCUCUGAAUGAAUAUGUGUAAGUAUAUUUUCUAUUCUGUCAAAAUCCGGUCCCUUUACAUUGUUUUGAUUUGGGUUUUUAUAGCCACUGCUGUUAUUACAUAAACUAGGAAAGAAAUCUUUUUAUAUCUUUCCAUAUUUAUUUUGUUUGCUGCCGUGGUUCUUUCCUUCUUUCGCAGGUAUCAACGGAGAAUCUGGCACCGGAGUUGAUUCGGCCGUAAAUCACGGCGAGGCCAGAGUCACGGCGCUCGGUCGUGAGAGGGACAAGCUUCUGGACAACGCAUUAAUGGUGUGUCAAUGUGCAUUGAUGGCCUUGAUUUGGAGAGUUGAACAGAUGCUCCCCGAGGCUUCCAGAAGAUGCUGCGGCGCUGCAGUCUUCAAGAAACCCUAGGGUUUCUUGUUUCUCUAAAGUCACUUGGGCCACUUGGGCCUCUGGGUGUAAUGAGACUGCUGGGGCCAUUGUGUUUUGGUUAAGGGUAUAACGGGUAUUAAGGUAGUUUAGGCUAUUGGGUUGUAACCGGGUAUGAGACUUUUGCAUUUGGGCUUAUGAGGUCCUGAGGCCUAUUUAUUGUAAAUGGACUGUUUAAAUAAACAUUCAUUUAUUUUCUAUUCUUGGUUUUAUUUAUUUAACCAUGGGCCCAGGCAAAUUUGGGCUAUUACAAUAUUCAUUAUGCUCUAUGUUGUAUUUUGCAUGUAACAAUAAUGCAUGUAUAUUUAUGUUAUUUAUGAUCAUAUAUGCAUAAAAUGAUAAUGUAUAUUGUGUAAUUUAUGUCAUUAUUUAUCAUUUUUUUAUAUUAUAUUUGCAUGGAAUGAUAAAGUAGGUAUCAUGUAGGUUAAUUUAUUUAAUAUUGAUCCUUUGUAAUAAGUUGAAUGCAUCAUCACUUUAAAGAACUUUUAUAUCUCAUUCGAUCCAAAAGAAUAUAAAAAAUAAGGCAAUGUUUUUUGGUACUUAGGAAUUCGGGAAGUAGUACCCUAACAUGCUGGGUUACGAUUUCCCGUUUGUCUAAAUGCCUAAAAUAUCCUUCUAAAUAAGUUUUGAAAAUCACAAGAUGAUUUCAGUUACGAAAGUUUAAGAACAUCGUGUCCAAUCAUGCUGGAUGUGAUGUUUAUAUUCUUUUGAAGUGAAGGAUUCUUGAUUUUUAACUCAAAUUAUUACGGUUUUAAAAGAGAUCUUAUUUCUAAAUUCUUUUAAGCUUUUGAAGCGAAGGAUUCUUGAUUUUUAACUCAAAUUAUUACGGUUUGAAAAGAGAUCUUAUUUCUAAAUUCUUUUAAGCUUUUGACAUUAAGACAAAACUAUUCAAUUUGGUACCAAUUUUGGGCGUUGCGAGGGUGCUAACCCUUCCUCGUACGUAACCGAAUCCUGAGCCCGUUUUCUCAUAAUUUCGUAGACCAAAAUGUUUUAUAAGGUGAUCCAAUCACACUUUAAAAGGUUGGUGGCGGCUCCUGUUUUCAAAAUACCCUCCCCGUUUAAAAGAGGUUUUGACAACCCCCAUAUUUUAUUUGGCACAUUGUCCUUAAUGUGCUUAAAAAUAAAAUAAGGAACGAAAUUACCUAAUUUGGCGUGAUAGUCCAUGAACAAUGUUGGGUAGCCUUGUCCUCCCCGAUUUAACUCCAAAAAAUUUUGUAUCAUCCAAAAUAUAGGAUUCUUACACAGAAAAACACAUUUUUUUAAAGAAUCUUAACUCGAUGUCGCAACAUUAACUUCAAAGUUCCUAGCUAAUUGGUUCAAAAUCUAGUAUCGUGACAUUGAGAUUCAAUUUUGUGACAUUCUCCUUGUAUUUUAACUUUGAAGUUCCAUGUCAUGACGCCAGAGUUCAUCGUCGUGACUUUGAGUCUAGUUCUAUGCUUCUUCAAGUUUUUUUUUUGAGAUGUUCCACAAUAUCAACACUUACUUGUGGAAAACAACACAAACAAUCAAAAGGAACAAAACAAAAUUUUAAAAAUAAAAAAUAUAUAUUAAAUAAAUAAAUAAUAAAAUAAAAGGAAAAACUAGAGAAAAAAAUAAAAGUUCUUUUUAAAGACUAGGACGAUCUGCAUCACAACCAUAGAAGAAUUUUCAGCUGGUCCUCGACACUUUGAUCCUUCAUUUGUUUCAUUGUUGAUGUAUCUGAACCAAUAAUUUUGGUCGAUUCUGAUGAUAUUGCCUUAGUUUUUACCGGCGUGACAUCUACAUUACAAGCUAUUUAAUGCCAAAGUUGAGCCAACCGCAAAUGGUUUUUUGGGAUAUUAUUAGCUCGAGCUUUUUCACCUCAAUGUCACGUAAGGAUCUAUCAACCUAAGUUUUGUCAUCGUCAUCGAACGAGAAUGAUAUGAACUCGUCAACCUCUUCGGUUGGCGUUUCCUCUUCUAUGGCCAGAAGGUGUGUCGACUCAUUGACACCUUCACUUAGAAUCAGUUUAAGCUCCAAGUUAAUGGUUAAUGUUACAUCUACUUCUAAAUCUACUAUUACAUCUAUGCCAAAGUUAAUUAGAUCAAAGACUACUUCGGCGAUCUUCAAUUCUUUCUCGUACCCAAUUUCAAACUCUAGCCAACUUUUGUAGUCUACUUACGGAUGGUCGAUAGUGCUACUAUAGGUUUCAUAAUUACAGUUGGAGGCAUCAUGUACAACCUUUUCCAAUGGGAUUUCUACUUCUGCUUGCCUUCGGAGCAAUUUCUCUAACUAGUCCACCUAUUUUUGAAUUCUUUCUAGGUUAGUUUGGAAUGCAUCCGACUCAGGAUGGAAUGUGGAUAAAUAUUCUCCACACCUUCGAUCAUGACUCCGCUGAUUCAUUGAAACUCCAAUUCUUCUUCUUUACUAUGGUUUAGGCUAUUGGGUUGUAACCAUAAAAUCUUCUUCUUUACUAUUUAUCUAUGGUUUUAAAUAUUUUUUAAAAAUACCUCAUUUAAUUUUUAUUGUAUUUUAUUUUUUAUAUAUGUUUAUAAUUUUUUUAUUUAUUUUUGCGUCCUUUUGGAUUUAUUUAGUAUCGUUUUAAUAUGUUCUCAAAGAUUAUUUGUAUUUUUAUGUUAUUUACUAUUUAUGUAUAUUUGCAUGAAAAUUGACUAUUUAUGUUGUUAUUUUAAGUUAUAUUUAUAUGUAAUAUUAUUGUAUACAUAUUAUGCAAUUUAUAUUGUUAUAUAUUCAUUAUGCUCUAUGUUGUAUUUUGCAUGUAACAAUAAUGCAUGUAUAUUUAUGUUAUUUAUGAUCAUAUAUGCAUAAAAUGAUAAUGUAUAUUGUGUAAUUUAUGUCAUUAUUUAUCAUUUUUUAUAUUAUAUUUGCAUGGAAUGAUAAAGUAGGUAUCAUGUAGGUUAAUUUAUUUAAUAUUGAUCCUUUGUAAUAAGUUGAAUGCAUCAUCACUUUAAAGAACUUUUAUAUCUCAUUCGAUCCAAAAGAAUAUAAAAAAUAAGGCAAUGUUUUUUGGUACUUAGGAAUUCAGGAAGUAGUACCCUAACAUGCUGGGUUGCGAUUUCCCGUUUGUCUAAAUGCCUAAAAUAUCCUUCUAAAUAAGUUUUGAAAAUCACAAGAUGAUUUCAGUUACAAAAGUUUAAGAACAUCGUGUCCAAUCAUGCUGGAUGUGAUGUUUAUAUUCUUUUGAAGCGAAGGAAUCUUGAUUUUUAACUCAAAUUAUUAUGGUUUUAAAAGAGACCUUAUUUCUAAAUUCUUUUAAGCUUUUGAAAUUAAGACAAAACUAUUCAAUUUUGUACCAAUUUUGGACGUUGUGAGGGUGCUAACCCUUCCUCGUACGUAACCGACUCCCGAGCCCAUUUUCUCAUAAUUUCGUAGACCAAAAUGUUUUAUAAGGUGAUCCAAUCACACUUUAAAAGGUUGAUGGCGGCUCCUGUUUUCAAAAUACCCUCCCCGUUUAAAAGAGGUUUCGACAACUUGGCGACUCCACUGGGGAAUUUAUAAGAGAGUCAAGCUAAGAAAUUGAUUUUUUGUGUCUUAAUGUGAGAAGUUUGGAAAAAUUUUAAAAUAUCAAUCUUUUCACAUGUGUUUGCUACAUAUGUUUGUUAUUUUUUAUUUCGCACACAUUGCAUUUACAUGACCGCUGUGGUCGCACCCUUAAGUGGGAGUGAGAAGCUAUGCUUUCGUGAGGUUUUCACCUCCGUAUGGGCUAGUGGAUUACUUCCGGGAUACAUUUGUACCUAUGUCUUCGUGAGAUUUUCAUCUCCGUAUAGCCAUAGGGAAACGUGUUCCUCUGAACAGAACUUGGUCCAUAUGAGCCUAUAAUGGGUGAGGAUCGAGGAAUCUGCUGGUUCAGGUACCCUCGCUUUAGAACUGAAACACAUAUAGUGAACUUUAAGUGCUUACCCUAGAAAAUAUAGUGAUAGCCUUAGUAAGUUACCCUUAUAAGUACCUGUUUAUUAUACUCUUAUAUGAUACUGACUUAUUUUAUUUUGCUAUCAUUGCAUGUUACUCAACAUUUAAAGGUGUCGAUUCACGGUUCGAUUUCUAGAUUAGAAAGUUUUGUAAUGAGGGACGAAUAUCUCGAUAAAGUGGAGGACAACGCUUCUGUCUGUGCAUGGUCAGAGAAAACCCAGUUAGAAAAGGGAGAUAAUGUCACUGAGGGGUAUACGUCAGAGUUGUAGGACUUUACUCAUAUCACUUCAACACAGAAUAAGUUUCAGGAAUUGAAGGACAUUUGGGCCCAAUGGGAUGAUGAGGCUAAGCAGCUGCUCUACCAGGAUUAUGGAGAUCUUCCCUAUUUGCUAGACAUCAAGUUGGAUAAGUAUCUUGAUUUUUAACUCAAAUUAUUAUGGUUUUAAAAGAGAUCUUAUUUCUAAAUUUUUUUAAGCUUUUGAAAUUAAGACAAAACUAUUCAAUUUUGUACCAAUUUUGGACGUUGUGAGGGUGCUAACCCUUCCUCGUACGUAACCGACUCCCGAGCCCAUUUUCUCAUAAUUUCGUAGACCAAAAUGUUUUAUAAGGUGAUCCAAUCACACUUUAAAAGGUUGAUGGCGGCUCCUGUUUUCAAAAUACCCUCCCCGUUUAAAAGAGGUUUCGACAACUUGGCGACUCCACUGGGGAAUUUAUAAGAGAGUCAAGCUAAGAAAUUGAUUUUUUGUGUCUUAAUGUCAGAAGUUUGGAAAAUUUUUAAAAUAUCAAUCUUUUCACAUGUGUUUGCUACAUAUGUUUGUUAUUUUUUAUUUCGCACACAUUGCAUUUACAUGACCGCUGUGGUCGCACCCUUAAGUGGGAGUGAGAAGCUAUGCUUUCGUGAGGUUUUCACCUCCGUAUGGGCUAGUGGAUUACUUCCGGGAUACAUUUUUACCUAUGUCUUCGUGAGAUUUUCAUCUCCGUAUAGCCAUAGGGAAACAUGUUCCUCUGAACCGAACUUGGUCCAUAUGAGCCUAUAAUGGGUGAGGAUCGAGGAAUCUGCUGGUUCAGGUACCCUCGCUUUAGAACUGAAACACAUAUAGUGAACUUUAAGUGCUUACCCUAGAAAAUAUAGUGAUAGCCUUAGUAAGUUACCCUUAUAAGUACUUGUUUAUUAUACUCUUAUAUGAUACUGACUUAUUUUAUUUUGCUAUCAUUGCAUGUUACUCAACAUUUAAAGGUGUCGAUUCACGGUUCGAUUUCUAGAUUAGAAAGUUUUGUAAUGAGGGACGAAUAUCUCGAUAAAGUGGAGGACAACGCUUCUGUCUGUGCAUGGUCAGAGAAAACCCAGUUAGAAAAGGGAGAUAAUGUCACUGAGGGGUAUACGUCAGAGUUGUAGGACUUUACUCGUAUCACUUCAACACAGAAUAAGUUUCAGGAAUUGAAGGACAUUUGGGCCCAAUGGGAUGAUGAGGCUAAGCAGCUGCUCUACCAGGAUUAUGGAGAUCUUCCCUAUUUGCUAGACAUCAAGUUGGAUAAGUAUCUGUUUCGAGCUAUGGUAUAGUUUUGGAACCCUGCUUAUAGUUCUUUUACAUUUAGAGAGGUAGACUUAGUAUCUACUUUGGAGGAGUAUACGACCUUACUCUGCUGUCCAAAAAUCCAAGGUAACAAGGCAUAUGUUAGGGCUGCUAAUCUCCCUACUUUCGUGAAGAAAUUAAUGAUGAUCACAGGGAUGAGUGAACAGUGGGCCGCAGCUCGAGUCCAACAAAAGGGUGAUGGUAAAUGCAUUCGGUGGGCAAGUUUGAGGGAUUUGAUAUUGGCACACCCAGAUGUGAAGAAGAGGGUUGAUGUUUUGGCCUUAAGUAUUUAUGGUUUGGUGAUUUUCCCUAAAGCUAUUGGGCACAUAGAUGAGGCAGUUGCGGAUUUAUUCGAUCGACUCGGUAAACAGAACACACCUGUGCCUGCAAUCCUAGCUGAGACGUUUAGAUCCUUGAACGCAUGUCAGAGAGCUGGUGAAGGUAGAUUUAUUGGAUGUGCACAGUUGUUGCUAGUAUGCUUCCACAGUCACUUUUGGAAAGUUGAUAAGGUUCCCUGCCGAGUGUUCUUUGAGGAUUAUUCUCCAUUAAGUGAAGCAGCAGUUACACCGAGGAGGGACGACAUUACAGAGGAAAUGUGGAUGGAAAUACUUCAGAAUCUCCGAGAGGAAGAUGUAAUGUGGAAAGCCCCCUGGAUGGCUCCUAAUGAAAUCCUUUAUCGUUGCAGAAGUUUUGAUUGGGUACCUCUUCCUGGAAUUUGGGGAGUUGUUGGUUAUACACCAUUACUCGUACUAAGGCAAUACAAAGUGGGGCAGUUUAUACCGGCAACACAAGGUUUAGCUCAGAGUGAUUUCUCAUAUAAGGGGGAUCAGUAUAAGAAGAAGAUGCGAGAGAUUUUUGAGGCUUGGAUGAAAAUUUACUGUGUGAAGAUUCUGACUGAAGGACCAACGAUGACCCUUGGAUACAAAGAGUGGUUUAGUAAGAGGAUUAAUGAUAAUAUCCCUAGGCCAAGUUUGGGGGCUACUCGAUUGAUGGAGGAGAGUUUACGAGUGAUUCCAUCAGAGUUGAAGGUUAUAAAGCAAGAGUUUGAAAGGAAGAAUUUGGAGCUCGGGAGAAAGAUAGAGAAGAUUGAGGAGGAGAAGAUGUAUCUGAGCUUAGAGGUCGACGUUCAUAGAAUUGAGUCGAAAAAGAGAGGAAAGAAAAUAGGAAGAUUGAGGAAGACCGAGAUGACUUGAAGACGCAAUAUAAGAGGAUACAGUUGUCAAUGAAAAGAGCUAGAUUGGGGAAGUCUUCAGAACAGUGGCAAUAAGAGGUUCAAGAAAAAAGAGUCAAAGCCGAGUAUUGGGAGAAGAAGUUCCUAGAGAUACAAGCGCAUAAUCAGGCCUUAGAAAAGAAGAAUCAAGGAUUAAAAACUAAUGUGACUGAGCUUGGACGAUCUCUUCAUCAUCACCGAAGUCGUAACUCUGUGGUCGAGUUAAAGGCAAGCCUGGAUAAGAUCGAGGAAAUGAAGCAUAAUAUUGGAGGGUUGGAAGCAUCAUUGUAGAACUAUGAGCUACUAAUAGAGCAGCUCGAGGCAAGAGAAGAACAUUGGAAGGGAGAGCUUCACCUUUUUUAGGAUCAAGUCAGAGAUAGGGACUACCUCAUGGGAGAAGCUAUAGUACAGACUCGAGAGGUUGCGGAUCAUUUGCAAGACCUGGCAGCGCAAGGUAAUGUACUGAGUACAAAGUAUGAGUUAGUGUCAGAUAGAGGUCUAGAGUUAGCUUUGUUAUUGGAUAGGGUUAAAACACUGGGCCUGAGGGCGAAGGCGUAUUUGUAAUCCGUUUUGUGUAAAGAUUUUUGUUUCUUAAAUAAUGUUUUCUAAAGAAACUGAAUCAGAAUCGAUAUCUUUUUACAUUCAUGCAUUCACAUCUUAUCACAUCAUAUGCAUUCAAAUUUAUAGAAAGACCCUAAUUAGUUAAAAUUAUUAGGGAGAAAGAGAGAGUAAGAAAAAGAAAAUCUAGAAGCAACACAUCCUUACGGUAUACGCACUAAGACAAAGAAUAUGGAUCAAAGACUUGAGCAGAUCUAGAAAGAAAUGUAAGAGCAAUUACAGGAACAAUUGGUGAAAAUCCAACAGGAGAUGAAGGAUCAAAUGUUGGAGGCUCAAAGAAAUAUGAUGGCUGAGAUGGCUCAGCUGCUGUGGGGGGCAACGGAUAAAGGAAAGGCCCCUAUGACUACCACUGAAGAGGAUAAUGAGGAUCAUCCUCUUGGUUUUACUCCACCUCAUGUGCAGACUCAACCUGAGGCAUAUCCCUAAAGGCCGUCCGUUACUAUAAGGCCUCAAAAGGAGCAAGUCGAUACUGGAAUGCCCAUGAACUUUCAAACUGGUUCAGGAUUCAACCCUGGAGAUAACCCUGCCAAUCCAAUCAUCCCUGAUUUAGAUGUAGCUGAGAGGAAAGAGAUGAGACUCAAAUCAUCAAGGCAAUUAGAGGAACGUUGCAGAUGGUUACAAGAGAAAUUUAAGGCAUUAGAAAAUGCUAAUAAUCGUCAGGGAAUUGAUGCCAAGGACUUGAGUUUGGUCCCAAAUUUAGUGCUUCCUCAUAAGUUCAAGAUGCCGGAGUUUGAGAAGUACAAUGGGACUACUUGCCCUGAAGCCCAUAUCACCAUGUUCUGUAAGCGGAUGACUGGUUAUGUAAACAAUGAUCAAUUAUUGAUCUAUUGUUUUUAAAAUAGUUUGGUUGGGGCAGCGGCUAGGUGGUACAAUCAAUUGAGUCGUGCAAGGAUUGAUUCCUGGAGAGACUUAACACAAGCUUUUAUGCAGUAGUAUAACCAUGUGACUGAUAUGACUCCUGAUAGAAUCACUUUGCAGAACAUGGAAAAGAAGCCUAAUGAGAGCUUUAGGCAAUAUGCACAGAGAUGGAGGGAGGUUGCCAUGCAAGUUUAACCACCGCUUUUGGAGAAUGAGACUAUCAUGCUGUUCAUUAACACCUUGAAGGCCCCAUUCAUUACUUAUAUGAUUGGAAGUGCUACCAAAAGCUUCACUGAUGUAGUUAUGGCAGGAGAAAUGAUUGAAAACACCAUAAUGGGUGGCAAGAUAGAGGGGGAAACUGUUAAAAGAUCAGCCCAAGAAGGAAAGAUAAUGAGGUGAACAAUAUAAAUAGUUAUAAUUCGAAGGCAAUUACGGUUAGUCAACCCAGAGCAACUACAGUUGGGCAACAGGAUUCCCAAAAGCAUGGAUCUGGUUCGAGACAAAAUUCUAAAAAUGUCUUAUUUACGCCUAUCCCAGUGACGUAUCGAGAGCUUUAUCAAAGUUUAUUCAAUGCGCAUGCAAUAGCUCAUUUUCAUUUGAAACCAUUACAACCCCCGUAUCCUAAAUGGUAUGAUACAAACGCCAAAUGCGAAUACCAUGCGGGGAUAUCGGGACAUUCAAUCGAAAAUUGCACUGGUUUUAAAAAGAUAGUGGAAAGACUAAUCAAGAUGGAGGUCGUAAAAUUUGACGACACCCAUAGUACAGAUAACCCAUUGCCAAACCAUGGUGAUUAAAGGGUAAAUGCAAUUGGAAACACUAAUAUGAGAAGGAUCAAAGAGGACGUGGAGGAAGUAAGAAUGCUGAUAAAAGUAAUCUGGAAAGAAAUGGUGAAAAGAGAAAUGAUAAUCUCUGAAGAAGAAAAUAAAGGUGCAAGGGGCUACUGCGAGUUCCGUGAAGAAAAGGAACAUGAGAUCCAGGAAUGUGACGAGUUUAAGGCUUUGAUACAAAGCCUUAUGGAUAAUAAGGAGCUGGAAUUUUAUGAAGCUGGCUCAGAUGAGGGUCAUGUAUGCACAUUGGAAGAUGAACCCAACAAUCAAAUAAUCAACCGGCCAAGGAUCAUUAUUUCUCUACCAAUGAAUAAUGAAGUCGAAACAUAAACAGCACCGAAGGUUAUUACUCGCAAACUCGUUUUCUUUCCUUAUAAGGAUAACAAGAGGGUACCCUGGUAUUAUGACUGUAAUGUGACAAUGCCAGAGAAAGAGGCUAUAGCUAGUGCUUCUAAAGAGGCUCAAGAUAAGGGUUCUUACACACGUAGUGGGAAGCGUUAUAAUGUAGAAGGAGUCAGAGUUGAGCCUGCGAAAGCAAAAGCCUUUGACAAAGAAAAAGGGGUUGAAGUACUUGUUAAUGAGCCAGUAAAGGAAGAAGAAGCCAGAGAGUUUUUAAAAUUCUUAAAACACAGUGAGUACAGCGUGGUUGAACAAUUGCGCAAGCAACCAACUCACAAAUCAAUGUUGGCUUUGCUUCUGAGUUCAGAGGUACAUCGAGAAACAUUAAUGAAGGUGCUCAAUGAGACUUACGUUACUAAUGAUAUAUCCGUCAAUAAGUUAGAUCGAUUGGUUAGUAACAUAAGUGCUGACAAUUUUAUCUAUUUCAAUGAUGAUGAAAUCCCACUUGGUGGCAUAGGAUCAGCUAAAGCUUUACAUAUCACCACUCGCUAUAAGGGGUAUACAUUGCCGAGUGUGCUUAUUGAUAAUGGAUCAGCCUUAAAUGUCUUACCAUUGUCCACAUUGAAUAGAUUACCCAUAGACAGUUCUCACAUAAAAACAUGCCAUAAUGUAGUGAGAGCAUUCGAUGGCACGGAGAGAAAGGUCAUGGGAAGAAUUGAUAUUCCUUUGAUGAUUGGGCCAAAUACGUAUGAGGUGGACUUUUUAGUGAUGGACAUCAAGCCCUCUUACAAUUGCCUGUUGGAGAGGCCUUGGAUACAUUCGGCAGGAGUAGUGCCCUCAUCCUUGUACCAGAAAUUGAAGUUAGUAACGGACAGACGGCUAGUCACCAUAAAUGCAGAGGAAGACAUCAUAGCAGCAGUUACCAGCGACGCACCAUAUGUAGAGGCAAAUGAUAAGGCUAUUGAGUGCUCUUUUCGUUCCUUAGAAUUCGUCAAUGCAACAUUCAUUUCAGAGAGGAAGGAGGUGUCAGUACCCAGGAUAUUCAGAACCACAAGAAUGGGUUUACAGAUGACAAUGGGGAAAGGAGCUUUGCCAGGAAAAGGAUUGGGAAGAUAUCUUUAAGGAAGGAUUUAGAUUCCAGAAUUAAAGGAGAAGAGAGACCAUUUUGGCUUGGGUUUCAGGCCAGAUCACAAGCAAAGGAGGAAGGAAAUAGAGAAGCGUCAGGAAAGAAGAAAGACGCAUUUAAAUGGAAGAGAAGUAGAGUGGGAAUUGAUGACAUUCCCUCAUAUAUCCCAAACUUUUAUAUCAGGAGGGAUAAUUUACCCUAAGAAAGGGUUGCUCGAAAAAGAAAGUUAUCACAUCAAUGCUGUACAUAAUGAAGAGCCUGAAUGAAAAAACCUUGAGGGCAUUCGCCGUUAAGAACCGAGAAGCUCUUUAAACAAUUGGAUUGCAGAAGAAUUUCUUGUAGUUUUUAAAGACUUUUCAAAGUAAUUUUUAAAACACUCUUGUUGCUCUAAAGCCUGGGAGUAAUAAGGUUUCGUUUGUAAAAUAGGUUCAUGUUUGGAUAUUUGUAUUUCAAUAAAACAUCACUUUUGUUAUCAAUCCAAGUGAAUAUCCUUUUAUACCGAUCAAUAUUCUUUUGACCUUUUUAAAUUCUUUCAAAUUUUUCAUUUCAUACAUAACACAUAAAUGAACAUUCUUAAAAUUCAUUCAUUCUUUGUACAUUCUUUCGUACCCCGCAAGUCCCUAGAUAUCAAUGACAUGAGCACUGAUACUACAAAUCCUGAAUUCUCUUUUAAGUAAGACAUGUGUGUAGAAGAACCUCAGGAUUUUGAAGAUGACGGGAAUUGUGAUGUGUCUCCAAAUCUGUUGAGAAUGGUGAAACAAGAGGAGAAACAAAUCCUACCCCGUGAGAAAGAGGCAAUAGAGAAUGUAGUCUUGGAAGAAUGAAAAGAGGUAAAAAUAGGGACACAUAUUGCAAAGGAAACGAGACAAGGUCUUGUUGAGCUACUACGUGAAUUCAAAGAUAUAUUUGCAUGGUCAUACGAGGAUAUGCCGGGACUGAAUACUGAUAUCGUGGUACAUUGUCUCCCCAUAAGACAAGAUUGCAAGCCGGUCCAACAAAAAUUACGAAGGAUGAGGCCUGAUAUUGUGCUGAAAAUAAAAGAUGAAGUCAAAAAGCAGUUUAAUACUGGAUUCCUACAAGAGGUUAAGUAUUCAAAAUGUGUGGCUAACAUUGUGCUUGUCCCUAAGAAGGAUGGGAAGGUACGAAUGUGUGUUGAUUACAUAGAUCUGAACAAAGCUAGCCCAAAGGACAACUUUCUUUUACCGCACAUCGACACUUUGGUGGACAAUACAGCGGGAUAUUCAUUGUUUUCUUUUAUGGAUGGCUUCUCAGGGUACAAUCAGAUAAAGAUGCAUCCCAAGGACAUGGAUAAAACUACCUUUAUAACAUUAUGAGGCACCUUUUGUUACAAGGUAAUGCCCUUCGGGUUAAAGAAUGCAGGGGCAACAUACCAAAGGGCUAUGGUGAACUUAUUUCACGAUAUGAUGCACAAGGAGAUUGAAGUGUAUGUUGAUGACAUGAUUGCUAAAUCUCGAACAGAGACAGAGCAUAUUGAAGUCUUGAAGAAGUUGUUCAUAAGAUUAAGGAAGUUUCAGUUGAAGCUUAAUCCAGCAAAGUGCAUUUUCGGAGCUAGGUCGGGGAAAUUAUUGGGCUUUGUGGUCAGCGAAAAGGGAAUAGAAGUUGACUCAGACAAGGUUAGAGCCAUACGAGAAUUGCCUCCACCACAUACUCAAAAGGAAGUUUGGGGUUUUCUUGGAAGAUUGAAUUAUAUUGCUCGGUUUAUUUCACAAUUAACCGAUAAAUGUGAUCCUAUAUUUCGCCUCAUUAGAAAACACAACCAAGGUAUAUGGAAUGAGGAAUGCCAGAAUGCUUUUGAUAAGGUUAAGCAAUACUUGUUAAACGCUCCAGUAUCAUCUCUGCCCAGUCCAGAUAGACCAUUAAUUCUGUACUUAUCAGUGUUUAGUAAUUCUAUAGGGUGUGUGCUUGGUCAACAUGACGAGUCAAGAAGAAAGGAGAAGGUGAUAUAUUACCUUAGCAAGAAAUUCACAGAGUGUGAGAUGAGAUAUUCACAAAUUGAGAAGUUGUGUUGUGCUUUGAGCUGGACGACUCGAAGGUUGAGGCAAUAUAUGCUAUAUCAUACAACUUGGCUAAUUUCGAAACUUGAUCCAUUAAAGUACAUGAUGGAGUCAACAGCCCUAAAUGGAAGAAUGGCAAGGUGAAAAGUACUACUUUCAGAAUUUGAUAUAGUCUAUGUGAGUCAAAAGGCUAUAAAAUGGAGCGCGAUAGCAGAAUUUCUGGCUAGCAGAGCUCUAGAAGAUUAUGAGCCGUUAAGCUUUGAUUUUCCUAAUGAGGAGUUGAUGUAUGUGGCAACUAUUGAAGAACGUCCAUGGAAGCUAAACUUUGACGGCGCAUCCAAUGCGGUAGGAAAUGGAAUUGGGGCAGUCUUGGUAUCCCCAAAUGGUGAUCAUUAUCCAUUUACAUGUAAAUUAGAUUUUCACUGUACGAACAAUAUGGCUGAGUAUGAAGCAUGCAUCAUGGGGAUUCAAGCGGCCAAAGAGCGAAAAAUUAGAACCCUGGAAGUGUAUGGAGACUUUGCGUUGGUAAUAUACCAACUUAGGGAUGAAUGAGAGACAAGGGACCCCAAAUUGAUUAAUUAUCGAAGGGUAGUUUUGGAGUUACUUGAAGAGUUUGAUAACGUCACUUUCAGUUAUCUCCCACGAAACGAAAAUCAAAUGGCGGACGCUUUGGCAACAUUAGCUUCCAUGAUUAAAGCAAAUAAACAAGAGGAGGUGAGACCAAUUCAGAUGAGCGUUUCUGAGGUUCCAGCUCAUUGCUGUAAUAUCGAAGAAGAUGAAAAGGAUGACCAUCCUUGGUAUCAAGAUAUAUUACGGUAUGUGAGAAAUCGUGAAUAUCUUGAGCAGGCAACUGAGAAUGACAAAAGAACUUUGAGAAGGUUAGCCUGCGAAUAUGUACUAGAUGGAGACAUCCUUUAUAAAAGAAGGAAAGAUCAGGUACUCUUAAGAUGCGUCGAUGCUGUGGAAGCUAGACAAAUCCUGGAAGAAGUACAUGAAGGUGUUUGUGAGACACAUGCUAAUGGCUUUACGAUGGGCAAGGAAAAUCAUGAGGUUUGGAUAUUUUUGGUCUACUAUGGAAAGAGAUUGUAUCAGCUAUACUAAAAAAUGUCAUAAAUGCUAGAUAUAUAGGGACAAGAUUCAUGUACCACAUUCACCCUUAUAUGUUAUGACUUCUCCAUGGCCCUUUUCCGUGUGGGGCAUGGAUGUCAUAGGGCUAAUAUCACCAAAGCUUCGAAUGGGCAUCGUUUCAUUUUUGUGGUCAUUGACUACUUCACAAAAUGGGUAGAGGCAGCUUCAUAUGCUAGUGUUACCAAGUCGACUGUAAGUUGUUUCUUGAAAAAGGAGAUUAUUUGUCGGUAUGGAAUGCCUGAGAGGAUUAUAUCGGACAAUGCAUUGAACUUGAAUAACAGCAUGAUUGUGGAAGUUUGUAGCCAAUUUAAGAUCAAACAUCAUAAUUCAUCUCCAUAUCGCCCAAAAAUGAAUGGGGCAGUGGAAGCUGCCAUCAAGAAUAUUAAGAGCAUAGUAGGGAAAAUGACUGAGACCUACAAAGACUGCAUGAGAAAUUACCAUUUGCACUCAUUGCCUAUCGAACGUCAGUCAGAACCUCUACUGGGGCAACACCUUUCUCAUUGGUUUAUGGGAUGGAGGCAGUGUUGCCCAUUGAAGUAGAAAUACCUUCUCUUCGAAUUUUGUCAGAAAUAAAGCUGGAUGAAGCAGAAUGGAUUCAAUUGCAGUAUGACUAAUUGAACUUGAUUGAAGAAAAGAGGCUAAGGGCUAUUCGUCACGGUCAGAUAUAUCAGAAGAGAAUUCCACGAAGGGGACCUUGUAUUGAAAAAGAUUCUUCCCAUAAGAAGGACUUUAGAGGAAAAUGGAUGCCAAAUUGGGAAGGACCGUACGUUGUGAAGAAGGCUUUCUCUGGUGGUACACUGAUUUUGACAGAAAUGGAUGAGAAAAGUUUACCCAAUCCAGUGAAUUCAGACUCAGUCAAGAAUUACUUUGUCUAAAGAGAAAGGAAGUCAAGGUGAAAACCCACAAAGGGCGCUUUGAGAUUUCUGAAAACUUCUAAAAAAAAUAGAGAGGCCAAGGUGAAAACCCGUAAAGAGCGCCCUGAGACCAAAGGGGUUUUGAGUUGAAAACCCGAAAUGGCUGUUCAAAUUUUAAAAAGCAUGCAGUGACCUUGCUAUACUAGAUUUGACAAGAAAUGGAGUAUGUUACAUACUAGGGCAUCGACAAAAUACUUUGAAUCUUCUAAACAAAUGAUAAACUCAAAACAGUCUUCAUGGAAUUUGUAUAUAGAAGCCCAAGCUGUGAUAUGUUGGAUAUGUGAUUUUUGUUCUGUUUACUAUCUUUGGAUUCUUUUUCUUCUCAAAGAUAUGUUUUUAGAUUAAUUUCCUAUUGUAUUCUGAUGAUUUAUUUAACUAUUCUCAAGAUUAAAUUAUUUGUCUUCCAUUAUUCAUAAAGUGUGUUACAUUGAAAUAAUGAUUGAUGAACUAAAUAUUUUUACAAACGAAGUUUUGCAUAUUACUCUGAAAAUCUCUAGAGAAUACAAGAAACUAAAACAGAACAAUUGUUUGAAGAAUUCCCAUGAGUGAGGGUCAGAGGUAUUCAAGAAAAUUUCUUCAGUUCAAAGGAUAAUUGGACAAUUCAAACGAUUCAAUCUUAGGAGAGGAUCGUCUCCAGCAGGUCGUAACAUUCGGAGAAUGGUACAAUAGGACCAAUCUGAUUCAAAACACAUGAGCAAAGUAUGAUUGAUACUUUGAGUAAAAUAAAGGUGGAACUUUGAUGGAUGAACGAGUAAAGACGUCCGAAAUAGGAAUCAUUUUCAUAACAUUUUGCAUCAUAGUAUGUCUAUUUAGGAGCAUUUGACUCAUUUCGGUCAUGUCACCUUAAUCAUCGGGCAUGAGCACAUAUGCAUUCUACAGGUUACGCCCUUUAAGGGACAAUAUAGAUCACCGAUAGUAGAUUUGGCGUCUCUGUAUUGACAGAGAGCAGAUCGAAGAUAACAGAUUUGGCUUCUCUGUAUUGACAGAGAGCAGAUCGAAGAUAACAGAUUUGGCGUCUCUGUAUUGUCAGAGAGUAGAUCGAAGAUAACAGAUUUGGCGUCUCUGUAUUGUCAGAGAGCAGAUCGAAGAUAACAGAUUUGGCGUCUUUGUAUUGAUAGAGAGCAGAUCAAAGAUAGCAGAUUUGGCAUCUCUGUAUUGACAGAGAGUAGAUCGAAGAUAGCCAAUUUGGCGUCUCUGUAUUGACAGAGAGCAAAUCGAAGAUAGCCGAUUUGGCAUCUUUUUAUUGUCAGAGAGCAGAUCGAAGAUAGUAGAUUUGGCGUCUCUGUAUUGUCAGAGAGCAGAUCGAAGAUAGCAGAUUUAGCGUCUCUGUAUUGACAGAGAGCAGAUCGAAGAUAGCAGAUUUGGCGUCUUUGUAUUGACAAAGAGUAGAUUGAAGAUAGCAGAUCUAACAUUUGUAUGCUUACAUCGAAGCAGAUUGAAGAUGACAGAUUCAGCUUCUCCAUAUUAGGCAAGGAGAAGAUCAGAGAUUUCAGCUUGGCAUUCCUGAGUUUGCAGGGAGCAAGUUGAAUAUAGCAGAUUUGACAUUCCUGGGUUACGGUGAAGCAAGUUUGAAGCUAUCAGAAUACCUUUGAAGAAGAUGAGGAUCAAGAUUUCGAGACCUGGCCAGGCCGGGCAAAAUUGGUCCUUUUAUAGUCUUUGCUCUAUUCCUGUUACACAGUAAUGAGCAAAUAGGGGCAGCUGUAAUAACCCAAAUUUGCCCAGCCCAGAAAAUAAAAAAACAAAAAAUAAAAAGUCCUUUACAGUCCAUUUACAAAUCACGCCAGUAGCCCAUUACACUUAAAAGCCCUUUAACUUGAACUAAACCCAAAUUAAUGAGGCCAAGGAAGGCUCAAUGCCUAAACUGAAUCAGGAAACCCUAGGGUUUCCAGAAGCUUCGCGCCGCAAACUCCAAACGUCACGCCCCUUCGUCUCGCGCAAUUUCAGUGAACCCUCAUCGACGCCUCCAUCGGUGCCGUGACUACCGUAAUCUGCCCGCGAAUCAACACCCUAUCGUCACCGAAUUUCUCGCUGGUACCUGCAAAAAAGGAAAGAAGAACAACAGAGGCAAUACAAAUAUGGCAGGGAAUAAAAUCAAACAUGUUAAAUAUUAUUUUCAGUGGCUAUAAAAGCCCGAAUCAAAAUGAUGUAAAGCACGGUUUUUUUUAAAUGGAGAUAUACAAUAAAGAAUAAAACAGUUUAUCAAAGAAAACAGAGGUGAUUAGUUCUUUACCUUUUCUUCUUGUUGCAAACAUAUACAAAUUUUAUUAAAAUAAAAGGAAAGGGAGUUUACUAUUGGAUUUGCGCUAAAAACCAGAAGCUUUUCGGCUUUCGGCCGCCGUAUCUAGCGGAGUUGAAGACGGUACGUGGACGCGUGAGUCUGAUGACCGGGCUUGGCCCGACGGAGGCUGGAGCCCAGAGGAUUUCCUCUCUUUUCCUCUUUCAGAGGAUUUCUGUUCUUCUUUUUUUAAAACCAGGGGCUAAAAUGAUUUUUUAAGUUUUUUUUUUACAUUUAUAAGCUACCUAUAUGACGUCGUUUUGGGAUGACCGUUUAGUGACCAAACGGUGUCGUUUCAGGGCUGAGGAUCCGCGCGUUGACCCGUGACCUGGGGAGGAUCCGCGCGUUUUUGAUAAAUGGGAAAAUUACUGUUUGAGCCCUUCCGCAUUUUUCGUUUUUUAAAUGUCGUUUAAUUCUAAAUUUCUCUAUUUUUAAAUCUGGCCCUAAUAGUUUGUUUCUGUUUCAAUUUGGUUCCUGAACCCUUUAAAGUGUAAUUUUUAAAACGGCGUCGUUAUGGGAUUAGGGAUAAUUGCCCAGUGAGUCCCUCGUUUUUUGGCGCGCGCUUUAAUUGGAUCCAAAAUUCAUUUUAUUUUAAAAUUAACCCUAAAGUUUUUUUAUUUCAUUUUAAUCCUUUUGAUUUUUUUAUAAUUUAUUUAAUUUAAAUAUAAUAUACAAUAUUUAUUUUUACCAUAAACAUUAUCUAUAUAUGAAAAAUUAUUAUAUAUUUUUUUAUUUUUUAUUUGUGUAUUAUUUGUUAAAUCAUUUACAUUUCAUUAUAUAUUUUGAUUUAUACAUUUUAUUAUAUAUCAUUUUAUUAUAUAUUAUUGUUAUUUUAUUAUAUAUUAUAAUUAUUCAUUAUUUAUUAUUAUAUAAUUUUCAAAUUUGUAAAUUACUAUUAAAUAUUGCAUUUUUAUAUCAUUAUUAAAAUUUAGUAUGUAAUACACUAAAAUUUAUAAUAAAGUUUUAUUCCUAUUAUACAAUAUUAUUUUAUAAAACAUAUUAAAUUAUUACAUCAUAUAGUCUAUUUUUUAUUAAUCAUAUAUAAAAUCUUCUUCUUUACUAUUUAUCUAUGGUUUUAAAUAUUUUUUAAAAAUACCUCAUUUAAUUUUUAUUGUAUUUUAUUUUUUAUAUAUGUUUAUAAUUUUUUUAUUUAUUUUUGCGUCCUUUUGGAUUUAUUUAGUAUCGUUUUAAUAUGUUCUCAAAGAUUAUUUGUAUUUUUAUGUUAUUUACUAUUUAUGUAUAUUUGCAUGAAAAUUGACUAUUUAUGUUGUUAUUUUAAGUUAUAUUUAUAUGUAAUAUUAUUGUAUACAUAUUAUGCAAUUUAUAUUGUUAUAUAUUCAUUAUGCUCUAUGUUGUAUUUUGCAUGUAACAAUAAUGCAUGUAUAUUUAUGUUAUUUAUGAUCAUAUAUGCAUAAAAUGAUAAUGUAUAUUGUGUAAUUUAUGUCAUUAUUUAUCAUUUUUUAUAUUAUAUUUGCAUGGAAUGAUAAAGUAGGUAUCAUGUAGGUUAAUUUAUUUAAUAUUGAUCCUUUGUAAUAAGUUGAAUGCAUCAUCACUUUAAAGAACUUUUAUAUCUCAUUCGAUCCAAAAGAAUAUAAAAAAUAAGGCAAUGUUUUUUGGUACUUAGGAAUUCGGGAAGUAGUACCCUAACAUGCUGGGUUGCGAUUUCCCGUUUGUCUAAAUGCCUAAAAUAUCCUUCUAAAUAAGUUUUGAAAAUCACAAGAUGAUUUCAGUUACGAAAGUUUAAGAACAUCGUGUCCAAUCAUGCUGGAUGUGAUGUUUAUAUUCUUUUGAAGUGAAGGAUUCUUGAUUUUUAACUCAAAUUAUUACGGUUUUAAAAGAGAUCUUAUUUCUAAAUUCUUUUAAGCUUUUGAAGCGAAGGAUUCUUGAUUUUUAACUCAAAUUAUUACGGUUUGAAAAGAGAUCUUAUUUCUAAAUUCUUUUAAGCUUUUGACAUUAAGACAAAACUAUUCAAUUUGGUACCAAUUUUGGGCGUUGCGAGGGUGCUAACCCUUCCUCGUACGUAACCGAAUCCUGAGCCCGUUUUCUCAUAAUUUCGUAGACCAAAAUGUUUUAUAAGGUGAUCCAAUCACACUUUAAAAGGUUGGUGGCGGCUCCUGUUUUCAAAAUACCCUCCCCGUUUAAAAGAGGUUUUGACAACCCCCAUAUUUUAUUUGGCACAUUGUCCUUAAUGUGCUUAAAAAUAAAAUAAGGAACGAAAUUACCUAAUUUGGCGUGAUAGUCCAUGAACAAUGUUGGGUAGCCUUGUCCUCCCCGAUUUAACUCCAAAAAAUUUUGUAUCAUCCAAAAUAUAGGAUUCUUACACAGAAAAACACAUUUUUUUAAAGAAUCUUAACUCGAUGUCGCAACAUUAACUUCAAAGUUCCUAGCUAAUUGGUUCAAAAUCUAGUAUCGUGACAUUGAGAUUCAAUUUUGUGACAUUCUCCUUGUAUUUUAACUUUGAAGUUCCAUGUCAUGACGCCAGAGUUCAUCGUCGUGACUUUGAGUCUAGUUCUAUGCUUCUUCAAGUUUUUUUUUUGAGAUGUUCCACAAUAUCAACACCUACUUGUGGAAAACAACACAAACAAUCAAAAGGAACAAAACAAAAUUUUAAAAAUAAAAAAUAUAUAUUAAAUAAAUAAAUAAUAAAAUAAAAGGAAAAACUAGAGAAAAAAUAAAAGUUCUUUUUAAAGACUAGGACGAUCUGCAUCACAACCAUAGAAGAAUUUUCAGCUGGUCCUCGACACUUUGAUCCUUCAUUUGUUUCAUUGUUGAUGUAUCUGAACCAAUAAUUUUGGUCGAUUCUGAUGAUAUUGCCUUAGUUUUUACCGGCGUGACAUCUACAUUACGAGCUAUUUAAUGCCAAAGUUGAGCCAACCGCAAAUGGUUUUUUGGGAUAUUAUUAGCUCGAGCUUUUUCACCUCAAUGUCACGUAAGGAUCUAUCAACCUAAGUUUUGUCAUCGUCAUCGAACGAGAAUGAUAUGAACUCGUCAACCUCUUCGGUUGGCGUUUCCUCUUCUAUGGCCAGAAGGUGUGUCGACUCAUUGACACCUUCACUUAGAAUCAGUUUAAGCUCCAAGUUAAUGGUUAAUGUUACAUCUACUUCUAAAUCUACUAUUACAUCUAUGCCAAAGUUAAUUAGAUCAAAGACUACUUCGGCGAUCUUCAAUUCUUUCUCGUACCCAAUUUCAAACUCUAGCCAACUUUUGUAGUCUACUUACGGAUGGUCGAUAGUGCUACUAUAGGUUUCAUAAUUACAGUUGGAGGCAUCAUGUACAACCUUUUCCAAUGGGAUUUCUACUUCUGCUUGCCUUCGGAGCAAUUUCUCUAACUAGUCCACCUAUUUUUGAAUUCUUUCUAGGUUAGUUUGGAAUGCAUCCGACUCAGGAUGGAAUGUGGAUAAAUAUUCUCCACACCUUCGAUCAUGACUCCGCUGAUUCAUUGAAACUCCAUUUGUUCGACAUGAUUUUUUAUUGCUUCUAUGUUGUUCAUACAAAUAGCAGUAUACAUCGUCAUCCAAGAUUAAUUUGAAUUCUUUUUUGACUGAAUGUUUGGGCAUAUCAAAUUCUUCCUUAUAACUCCAUUGGUUCGUCAAAUCUUCGUUUGUCAAACUUGAUUCUUCAUUAAUGUUCCAAUCCAAUGGUUUUGUACAAUCUGGUUCAGGAUGAUUAAUCAUAAUACAAGGGUCUUCUAGUUGAAGUUAGGAACAUGAUGCACAACCUCAUCCAAUGGGGUUUGUUGUAGCUCCAUCGUAAGCAAUAUUUGGUUCUCCUCGAUAUCCUAUUCUUCAUAAAAUCAUUCCUUGUAUACUUCAUCAUCAUACAACGCAGACAUUUUGCAUUCUUCAGCCCAACUCUUAUUAUCAUCAAACUCAUAAUCAACCCAAUCCAUGAGUAAAUUAGUUAGUCAACAAGGUAGCUAAAAAUAAAAAUAACUAAAAAUAAUGAAAAAUAAAGUUAAUACACUAUCUAACUCAUUCGUCUUUCGAUUAAUAUUAUUUUACGAAGCAAUUAAUCUAAUAAUAAUUUUCACAGUCGCAAUCCUCGGCAACAACACCAACAACUUGAAUGCUACCAAAUGUGCGAAUGUUUGGACUGAAAAUACUGCAGCAAAAAGAUAAUAAAUAAAGCAACGGUGUCCACAAGUAUACUGGUCAAAUUGUAAUAUAGGUUGUUUACAACGAAACACGUGGAAAGUAUUCCAUGGAUUGUAACCAAGAGAUUGCAGAUUGGAGAAAUUUAUUAUUAGAUUAAUUACAGAAAAUAAGUACUAAUCUAAUCGAGUUCCGAAUUAGUAGUACAAAUCUAAAUUAAAGUAUUUAUUAAACUAAUUAAGUUAAUUAACCUAAACUAAGCUAAUGAAAUUUCCUAUUCCUAGUGUGGACAAUACAAGCUCUCGGCCUUUAAUCAAUUAAAUCCCUAAAUAACAACUAAGUCAUUAAUUACCCUCAACUGAGUUCUUUACCACCUUUAGCUACAAAUACCCUCUCGGUCUCAUCUUCACUAAGGAUUGCCACUUAAGUCACCCUCUGGUCUUUUCCUAGGCAUACGGAUAACUCUCGAUCUCAUCACUGGGCAUAAGUUACACUUAACAGACUACCCCCUUUUAGUCUCACCUUUCUUGAUAUUCUAUUAGGGAUGUCACUCUUUAAUAUAAUAAGUACUCUUGAAUGAACUCUCAAUUUUAGGUAAAUAAUUACUUAAUUAAUAAAUCAGAUUCAUAAGCGAAACAUACCAGAUAUAAAAUACGCACAACUUAUUCUAAUAUUCAUAUAAACAUCAAUUGAUCAGGCCAACGAAAAUAUAAAUAAAAGAAUAAGAAAAAUGGGAGAAAGCUAUUAAAUAAAUAUAGGUACAACUCCAGAGCAAUAUCCUCUCAUGAUCAUCUUCACAUCAGAACAGGAAAAUCUCGACUACACGAACAUAAAAUAAAACUACAAAGAAAACUAAAUAAACUAUUUAGUUCUAAAAUGUCUAACUUUCAACAACUGUCUAACGAAGUUAUAAGUGUUUAUAUACGCACAAAUUAGAGCAACCAUUAAUGUCAAUUAUUACUAAAAUACCCCUGAUACUAAUAAAUUUGUAUUUAGUAAACUGAAUAUUUAAAAUUUGUUCACGUGACCACUGUUGUGAGCAAUUUGUCACGAUGACGUCAAGACUCCGCGGCGCCAAAAUCCCACAUCGCAAUGUCAGCCCUAUUUUUAGCCUUUGAUGAUUCAAAGUUCGGUGUCAAGACGUGGUAUGUUGAUGCCGCGUCAUGACCUUUGUUCCUUGCAUACUUAAGCUUAAAUCGAUGUCCUACACACUCAAAUAACCCAUUAGUCAUACCCAAGGCCCAAAUUGGUCUUAUGGGUCGUUAAAAAACUGAAUAAUGGGUAAAAACACUUAUUUUACCGAAAUUAAACUUAAACUACUAAAAAUAGAAAACGAAAUAAACACAUAUAAAAGAGCUAGAAAAUAUGCUCAUUAAGUGCCAAAAUGACUUUAAUUUCCACAACGAAUUGUGGUAGAUUAAUGAUUCAGACUGUAGGAAAUGUAGAUGACUAGAAAAUCAUAUAUGAUGGAUGUUUCUACCUGGGCUUGAAUCUUGUAUCUUGGUAUAACAAGAAGCAAUCAUCCAUUUCAUUAUCAACAACAAAGGCAAAGUAUAUUGUAGUUGGUAGUUGUUUUUCACAACUACUUUAGAUGAAACAAAUGAUUGGCAAACUUUGGAAUUUGAAUUAUUUUAAAUUAUAUUUAAAAUAUAUUAAAUAAUCAAUUCAAAUAUUAUAAUAGAAAAAUAUUGAAUAUAAUUAAAUCAUUUUUAACAUAUUCAACAUACAAUAUAGUUUUACUUUAUUUAAUUAAUGAAAAGUAAUAUUAUUCAAAAAAAUAACUAAUUAAAAUAAUUAAAUUUAAUAUUAAUUAAGUAAUAAUUAAGAUACUUAGUAUUCUAUUCAUGUAAUACAUCAUUAAAUUUAGCAUAGCACAACUUUUGUCUAUGUAAAAAAAAAAUUUAAACUAAUAUUUGUGAAUUAUAAUUAUAAUUAUCAAAACUCUUUUUAACUAAUAAUUGUAACUUAAAUUUUAAUUGUUUUUAAAUUUAUAAAUAUCACAAUUUAUCUUUUAUUUCAACUUUUUAAAUUAAUAAUCCAAAAUAAAACAUGAUAAUUAUUUUUAAAUAUAAAUUUAAUAAUAUUAUCGAAAAUAAUAAGCAUUCUUGUGAGUUCAAUUUUUUUUUUCUUUCCAAACUCACACAUAUAUUAUAGAUAAACUACCCAUUUUCUACAAUAGUUAUCAAUUUACUAAUAUCUAACUUUAAAAAAAAAAUUAUUUUGAGAUAGCCAUCCAGUUAUCUUCACUUUAUGUGUCUUAUUUGAAUUAAUAUUUAGGAGAAUUUUUUUUCACAUGUGCAUACAUGUAAAAAUUUUGUAAUUUGAAAAUAUAUGUGUUCAAAAAUAACAUAUAAUAAAUAAUGAAACGUAAGUUUUGAAAUUAAUAAUAACAGCUCAUAUGCAAUAUGUAUGAAAUUAAAAUAAAAAAUAAUUUAAAUUGUAGGUAAAAGGAAAUUUAAAUAGGUAAAUACAUUAAAUCAAGAAUAUUAAAUGCACUAUAAUUAUUUAUCAUAGUGUUGUCAUUUCUCUUAAGAUGACUUGUGACACCAAUACAAUCAACGAUAUUAUCAAUAUAAAUAAUGUGAGUGAAAUAAUUUGCAUAAUAAUAUUAAAAUAUAUCAAAGUAUCAAAAGAAAGCUUUGAUAGAAGUGAUAAAGUAAAAAUUUUAUAAAUAUUGAUAGCAUGACUUCAAAUAUCAACAUAUGCAAAAUUUAUAUUGAUUUUAUUUAAAAUGUACAAAUACAAAAGAAUAAUUGUAAGAAUAUAACUUAUUUCAAAUAUAUUAAGUAAUUUAGUAAUUUCUUAAGUUGGUAACAAUUUGAUAUUUAAAUAAUAAUAUAUAUUAUUAAUUAAAUUGAGGUUACAAAUUAAUAAAACACAAAUUCAAUUUAAAAAUAAAACAAAAUAUUUUUUUUCUGAUUUUUGUCGGAAAAUAUCUUAUUUAUUUUAAUAAUUUAAACACCAUAGCUUUUCUGUGGUCCAAAAAACAGGAUAAGACUGGCGUUGAAGGUCCUAGUCCCACCCAUGCCCAUGCGGGCCAUACUGUGUGUCGAUAUCCGACCCCGUGAUGUAAUAUCACUAUUGAAAUUAUAAAAAGUUGUCGUAUUUAAAAGACGUUUCACAUGCAUCCACUGUUCAAGUUGUUUUAGUUCAUACAAACUAUAUGCAUAUUCAAUGUAUGAAUAUGUAUUCCUUUUGGCAGCUACAACAUUCAACUUAAACUACUAACGAACAAAAAUGACCCUGUGAUAGAUUCAAUGUCCAAUCAAUGUCUUACUAAAUUAGGAUAUAUUCUAAAUCCAUCUUCGUAAUUGUCAAGUAGAAUUCACAUGAUUUCAGAUCUCCUACAAAAAUGGGAAAUCCAUUUGACCAAAGUGAUUAAUCUUGAAAACUAUUAGAAAAACUACUGCAACAGAAAGUGAAAGUCGAACCAAUUAGCAUUGCCAUAAACAUAAUAGCUAGUCAGGACAAUGAUUUUUUUUCAACCCCCCAGCUUGAUGCGGUUGCGAAAAGGACUGUUUUAAUACUAAAGUUAUACAGAAUUUUAAAUCAUACUAUGACGGUGGGAGAGAUGUGAAGAGUCACUAAAAUAAGAGUGAUUUAUACUGUAAAUUAUGUGGAGAGUCAUAAAAAUAUAAAUUUGAGAAGGUUAAGGUUAAGUUUUGAUAAAGUAUAGACUAUGUAUGGUGUAUGGCUCUCUUACUCCAAAGCUGAGGAGAGAUAUUUAUAUAGGGAGGUCAGUUGAGCAUGAGUCCUAACCAUUAAAUUUUCUAUCUCAUAAGUGCAAUAGUGGAGUGAUGGAUGUUAGUCGAGGGUAUUGAGUUAACUUGAAAGGGCUAGACGAGACAUUCGUUAAGUCAAUGUAAUAGAUUUAAGAGUGUCAUUAGAAACUCUUUCUCUUGUAACUCUUAAGGAUCAUGUGGCGCUUUGUAUGAUAGAAUGUUUAGGCAAGGUUAUUGUAAAGGUGAGUAAAAUCUAAUUCAAUUCGUAAAAUUCGAUAAAAAAUAUAAUUUUUGAAUUAAAUAGUUCGAGUUAUGUGAGUUAAUCGAGUUAUUUGGAUCAACUCGAAUAAAAAUUAAUUUUUUUUGUUUAACUCGAAUAUGAAUUACACUUUGAAUUAUCAGAAAAUCCAAAUAAGAAAAGGCAAAACUACAUUUGUUUUGAUAAAUAUUUACCUUUUCUAAAGUUAAAAGUCAAAACAUUUAAGGUAAAAGGUAAAAUUACGUCAUUUUAAUAAAUGUUUACCCAUUAAGUUAAAAGAUAAAACCAUUAUAUUGUUUAUAUAGUUAAAUAAUCUUGUACUUCGGCUACUAGUUAAACAAUUGGUCUAUGUAAAUACAACAUUAAGUAUUAAUAAUAGGAUUCGUCUACUCGACUCGACUUGUGCCGAAAAUUUUUUCCUCAAUUCAAUUUGAUUCGAAAAAAUUUUCAAAUUGAGUUUGGUUGCUAAAAUAGGAUUCUUUAACUCAAUUAACUUGAAAUUUUUUAACUCGAUUCCAAUUAACUCGAUCGAAUACUCACCCCAAGCUACUGCCCUCUUGGAGAGGCCACAUAUUCUUAUAGUUGUUGAAUGAUCCAGUGAGUCGGUCUAGGCAAGGGUAUAACAACUACCCCUUAGUUGAAAGACAGGUUACAAAGUGACCUGGCCUGAGCUAAUUCAUUAGCAAACCUUACUCGAACCUUGGUGAGGCUUGUAGAGGGUUUUGAAGUGUCAUCGUUAUUGUCUGAUUAUUGCACCUGUGUAUUGAUUACUCUUAGAUGCAUGUUUGUAUUUAAUUGAAAGAUUUUUUUAAACACAUUUCUCUUUAUUUUAUUGAGCCAAUAUUUAGAGAAAAAUAAUUUUGAAAUCAAGUUAAAAUUCGAUCUGACCUGCCUCAUGGAUAAAUUUAUAUCUAACUCUAUUUUACAAUAUUUUUAAUUUUGCCUCACCUGAAAAUGCUAAAUGGAACAUUCGCGAGCAUGUUAUAGAUUAAGGGACUCAUAUAUUCUCAUAUUCCUAUAAAUGUUGAAUAAUCGGAGGGGAUUUAAAAGAGAGGGUUAUAACAAAGACUAAUAUGGAUGUGGCUUGCUGACUCAAGUAGGGAAAAUGUGGCCAACAUGGUGUGGGAACCCGGCGGGUGAAGCGUCUUCGGCUCCACUUAGACCCCACACUCAUGCUUUGAAGGUUAAAUGUUGCGAUCUUUCAAUUCCAAUACAUUGAUAACAAUUUGCCUUUUUUUCUGAGGCCAGCGUUGAAGUUUCUCCCACUUGAUUUGCCAUUUGACAAGGAAAACUGGGCCAAUUGGAAUUCCCUGUUUAUCACAUAUAUUAAAUUAUUGGUCAUUCUAAAACUGUGACUGCUGCAGAUAUUUUUUUCUUCAUCUUUUUUAUAAACUGACCGUAAAAAUUUAAUUAAUUAUUUAAAUAAUCUAUUUUUUUAUAAAAUAUAAAAAUAACCUAAAAUCUAUCGUAAAAAUUGGUGAAAGUUAAAGUGUUUGGCACUACUAACAUAUCAAAUUAACAAUCAAGAUAAAAAAAUUAAUUUUUUAGCAAAACCAUUUAAAAUGACACCACCGACAUAAAUAUUAAGAAAAUGCUGCAAUUUUUGAAAAAAUAAAAAGGCUUUCAGCCAAGUUAUUUUUUUUAGUGAAGCCAAAUAAUUUGGCAUCACAUUCCAACACCCUAUCGUGCUUUUCCUUAUUUUUUUAUUUGUUUGUUUACAUUUAUUUUAUAAUAUUAUAAUAUAUAUUUUAAAUUUUUUAUAAUAUUAUUUCUUAAACUUUAAAUAUAUUUUUUAAAAUUUUAAAUAUGUACUUUUUAAUAUUAUAAAAAAUUUAAAACAUAUUAUUUUUAAAGAUAUGACAUUUUAAAUUUAUUAUUUGUUUUAUAAUAUUUUUAAUGUAUAUUUUAAAAUUUUUAAAAAUUAUUUUUAAAUAUAUUCAAACGUUUUUAAAAAUAAUAUUUAAAAUUUUAAAACAUAAUAUUUUAUUUAGUGGAAAAAAAACGAAUAGGCUAGAAAAAAGUAGAAAAAGAAAAAAAUGAAAAACAAAUAAAAAAUAGGAAAAGCAAAUUAGGCAGCAGAAUAGGGCUUUAGAAUCUAUUUAGCUCUACUAAAAAGGUAAAUUUACUUAAAGCCCUCCAUUUUUUUUCAAAAACCGUAGUAUUUCCCUAAUAUUUAUACAAGUGGCGCCAUUCUACAUGGCUCCACAAAAAAAUUAAUUUUUUUAUCCUGAUUGCUGACGUGACAUGUUGGUAGCACCAAAUAUUUGACUUCACCAAUUUUUAUUAUAAAUUUUAGAUUAUUUUCGAAUUUUAUCAAAAGAAUAAGUCAUUUAAAUAAUUAAUUAAUGUUUUAGGUUAGUUAAAAAAAAACCUAUUUUUAUGAUAACAACAAAAAAUAUAUAUAUUCAACAGUAGUAACUUAGAAUGGGAAUAUUCCAUAUGAAUGGUUUAAUAUCGGAAUUCGUUUUAUCAGUUUCACUAUUUGAAUUUUUAUAUGUUGUUUUAAAAAUUUUCAACAUAGUAAAUUCAGAUAUUUAACAUAAUAGAAUAUUGAUUUAAGGCUUUAAAAAGUGUUUAAUUUUUUUUAAAAAGUCAUUAAGUCUAUUUUUUUUUGUUUUUUAUUUUUUUGCACACAAUGUAUAUUUGAUCUUUCAAAAUGCAUAAAAAAUACCUUCAAACUUUUUUAAGAAAAGCAAUUAAGCUCCUAAAUUUUUUCACCCAAUUGGGUACUUGAACUGUUAAAUGCUUCAAAAAUACCAUUUAACCAUUAACUUUAACAGUUGAUCGUUAAAUUUAAUUACCCCUGAUCUUUUUUAGUCAAAGCCACUUGUGUAACAACCAUGGCGUGGCAUGUGACAAAAAAAUUAUAAAAAAUAAAAAUCAAAAAAAUUUAUAAAAUAUUUAAUUUUAAUAAAAAUAUUUAGAAUUUAUUAAAAAUUAGGAUUGUUUUAUAAAUACCAUAAAAAUUAUAAAAUGCAUAAAAAAACCUUUAACUAUUAACUUUAACCGUUAAAGAUAACAGCUUCUUGUUUUUUUUAAUUAAAGUUAUCAUAUAUCGCAACACGGCAUGACAUGCUUUUUUAGUACAGUAAUUUUUAUAAGUCUUUUUCCAAUUUUAUAUUUCUUUAUUUUUUUAUAAUUUUGUUAUGACUUUAUAAAAUUUUAUAAUUUUUUUUCUAUAUUUCUAUAUAUUUUACAAUUUUUACAACUUUUAUAAAAUUUUAAAAUUCUUUAUAAAUUCUUUUAAGAUUUUAUAAUUAUUCUAAUUAUUCUAAUUUUUAAAUAUUUUAAUUAAAAUUUAAUAUUUUUAUAAACUUUCAUUGAUUUUUAUUUUUUAUCAUUUUUUGUUACAUGUCCUAUUGAGGUUGUGACAUGUGGUGACUUUAUCUAAAAAAAUUAGGAGUAGUUAAAAUACCCAAUUGAGUGAAAAAAGGACUUAAUUAUUUUUUUAAAAAAGUUUGAAGGUUUUUUAUGUAUUUUAAAAAUUUAAGUACCUAAUUGAAUGUAAAAUAAAAAAAAGUAGGGACUUAUUUAUUUUUUUAAAAAGUUUAAAUUUUUUAUAUAUUUUAAAAGUUUAAAUAUUCAAAUACAAGUGUAAAAGAAAAAAAAAACAAAGCUUAAUGAUUUAGUUUUUUGAAAAAGUAUACAAGGAAAUUUGAUAAAUUUAAAAAAUCCAACCGCAGCCGACAGAAUUUUGUCAUGUUUGUUUUAAAAUAUCUAGCUAAAAGACAAAGGGCCAUAUCGUAUCAAUUUUAUUGUUUUCAACUGUAACCCGAUUUGUGUUACCUCGUGAACACAACUUGUCCCUAAUUAUUCCAAUGAGGCUUGGCCCUUAAAGCCUAGUUAGGACCAAUUACAUCACGUAUGCGAGAAUUACGCACAUGCACAUGCGGUAACAUUUUCCCUAUAAAUUGCUGGCCUUUGCCUCCACCAUUUUCAUCAUUCCAGUUGCUCUCAUUUUUCUUUGGAAACAAAAAACAAAAAAUAGAAAAAAUAAAGAGCAAGAGAUAUGGCAAGCACAUUCUCUUAUAAUUCUUUUGGAUUCCUUCUCAUUCUUGUCGCCUCUAGUUCCUUGAUAAAUAUAAGUUCAGCUGGUAGGCAAAUUGCCCCUAAAACUAGCAUUGAGUUUAUCAGAACAUCUUGUAGUUCAACGACUUACCCUAAACUUUGUUACGAAUCUCUCUUAACACAGGCUAGCAUGAUCCAAACAAGCCCCCAACUCAUCGCCCAUGCAGCCCUAAACGUGACCCUUUCAACCGCCAAGUCAACCUCGGCCAUGAUGGUGAAGCUUGCCAAAAGCCAAGGAUUGAAGCCUACAGAGGUGGGCGCCAUGCAAGAUUGCGUGGAGGAAUUGGAGGACACGAUAGAUGAGCUGAGAAAGUCAAUCAGCGAGAUGGGUCAGAUUAAAGGCUCCAAUUUUGGACUAAUGAUUAACGAUAUACAGACAUGGGUUAGCGCUGCUUUGACGGAUGAGAACACCUGCGCCGACGGGUUUGGAGGGAAAAACAUGAACGGCAGUAUAAAGACUGCUGUGAGAUCCAAGAUUGUCACAAUCGCUCAUUUGACAAGUAAUGCCUUGGCUUUGGUCAACAGCUAUGCUUCAUUUCAUGGUUAGCUAUUUAAUCAACUGUACAGGGGAAAUUUAGUCAUUAUUUACGGUAGCAAUUGUAUUUAUGGAUUUUUAGAAACUACUUCUGUUUUCCUGGUAAAUGUAAAAUAUAUAUGUGGUCCAAAGAAGGGAAUGGAGAUGUGUGUGUGUGUGUGUGU
This 55189-nucleotide long non-coding RNA is filed under the name Gossypium barbadense (sea-island cotton). RNAcentral describes it as "long non-coding RNA (GBAR_LNC002032)". The record is from RNAcentral. Lineage: Eukaryota; Viridiplantae; Streptophyta; Magnoliopsida; Malvales; Malvaceae.